Molecule: long non-coding RNA, 63782 nt
Filed under: Aquilegia coerulea
Lineage: Eukaryota; Viridiplantae; Streptophyta; Magnoliopsida; Ranunculales; Ranunculaceae
Description: long non-coding RNA (ACOE_LNC001724)
Source: RNAcentral
UUUUUAUCCCUUGUGAUCAUUUGGAAGACAACCUGUGAGUCAAUUUCUACAAGAACAUAACUUAAGUUCAAGCACACUGCUGCUUGCAAUCCCAAUCUAAGAGCAUUCCCAAUGCAAGGUGGAUUUUGGGGGUGGGGUGGAUAAAUCCACCUUGAAACCUAAAACAAUGUCCCAAGGGGAGGUGAAUUUUGAGAAGUGGCUGCCCACAGGUGGAUUUGAAGGUGGGAGAAUCCACCUUCAAAUCCACCUGUGGGUGGUAGAACCGGACCGCAUGUUACAUGCCGUCUGUUUUUUUUUUUAGUAUUACGUAGUGUUUUAAAAGUUUUGGACUCUCGGACGGCAUGUCACAUGCCGUCUCCCUAUUUUUUUGCAAAAAAAAAUGGGACGGCAUGUCACAUGCCGUCCGGUUUUUCUAAAAAUCCACUUCCUCUUACCAAAGAGUCCACUCUGCGUUGGGAGACUACCACCCAAGUGCAAAUACACCUCUCUCUUUGAGGUGGAUUUUGCCUAGGUGGACUUACGUGGCGCCUACGUGGAGGUGGAUUUAUCCACCCUGCAUUGGGAAUGCUCUAAGAGUAUAGAAUUCUGCCAUGAGUGUUGAACUGUACAUGAUAGGUUGUGCUAAAGCUAACACAAAACCUCCUUGUUGCUCUCUAAUAACAACUCCCCCACCAGCAGGUCCUGGAUUUGGGCUAGCCGAACAAUCGGUAUUUAAUUUGUACUAACCUUCUGGAGGCAACUCCCAAGAAAUAAAAAUCUGAUGUCUGGUGGUCUUUGAACUCGCUGCUGUAUCAUGACACUGCCCUGGUCUGACUUCCUGCGGAACUUUGAUCAUUCUUCUAAUAGCCAAAAUAGUUCGAAAUGGCCAUUGUUUUUCCAUGUGAAAAUGUACCUUGUUUCUUGCUACCCAUAUUUCCCAUAAGCCAACAACAAAUAGGAUUUGUAACUCAUUUGUUUGUGACGACUUUGAAUGCAGACCAUUACUAAUUCCUAAUAGCAUGUGCUGAGCAUUGCUAUAGGACUGAGCAUACACACAACUAUGAAUGUCCAAACCAAACCAUACAGCUCGUGCAAAAGGGCACUUGAUAAAAAAUGUUAAGACUGUUUCAACCUGUGACUGACAUAGAUUACAUUGAUCUUGUACCUGACAAUGUCUCUCGAUCAACAACUUUGCCACUGGUAGUGCAUCAUGUAGAAUCUGCUAUAGGAAGAACCUACACUUAGCUUGUACGGGAUAUUCAAUUUCCAAAUUGGGUAAAUUCAUUCUUCUUGUACAUCCAAGGUUCAUGAAUUGAAGCGAGCAAGCAGGCAUAUGCAGAUUUAACAAAAUAUGCUCCAUGUCUAUCGGAUUCCAGACUUUAUUAGAAUCGGUUUGGUGCACAACUGGUCAGGGAAUAGACAAUAUUUGCCGAGCAAGAUGAGCAUGCCAAAACUUCAUGACUGCGUCAACAUCCCACAUUUUAGAAACAGGGUCGAUAAAAAAUUCAUGCACUCUAGUAAGUGAACAAUCUGGCGGCUUAGAAGGCAAACUCCAAGGUAUUAAUUUUCCCGGGAUCCAAUGAUGUUUCCAUGCGUCAAUAGAGAGUCCAUCACCCAAUACCCACUUGCCAUCUCAAUCCUAGCUGAAGUAAACUACGUAAUGACAUAAUAUCCUUCCAAGAGCUGAUUUUUUUAGAGAUGUAUCCAUAAACUCAUCCCUAGGGAGGUAUUUUGCCUUCAUCUGUAGAGCCCACAAUGAACUUGGAUUCAAUAGUUGGUAAGCCUUCUUUCCUAACAACGCCAAAUUCUGAAUUUGUAAAUUCUUAAUACCCAAACCACCGGCAUGUAUUGGAAGACAUGCAUCAUCCUAAGAAAAAUAUUGACAUUUCCUCUUGCCAGGUUGUUCAUUCAAGAAAAAUCUUCUACGAAUCAAGUCCAUCUGAUCAAUGACUUUUAAUGGAAGCUUGAGGGUAGACAUGACAUAAGUAGGAAAUGCAAAGAGCACAAAAUUUACUAGAGUGAGCCUGCCAGAAUUAUAUAAAGGAAAAGAGCAAAGAGCACAAAAUUUACUAGCAUUUUAUCUCACAGCACUCAUGAAGAUGAAGGUGGGUUCCAAUAUCUUCAUAAAGGAAAAGAGGAAGAAAAUUGUUUCAGAUAAUCAGAAAUUUUAUAGAGCAAAAGCAAAAGGUUUUUUUCCCUCUCCACCCUCCUUUUUUUUACUUAUUUUAUUAGGGCUUGAAUGAAAUCAGAACAAAUUAGUAUUUUAUUUAUUUAUUAUUAUGCUGUAUGAUAGUAUUUUUAUGAUAAUAAAAUAUCCUAUUUUUCAAUCUUGCCUCUCGUAGCUCUCAAGAAGAUGGAAGAACAAGUGACCAAUGAGCAAGGGUUGGAGAAGUUGUUGAGUCCUGAUUUCUGGAUUAACUAUUUCACAGUUAUUUAUCCCUACCACCCUGGUCAUGUUGGAGAGAGACAAAGUUUCUUCUUUCGGUUUUGCCUCUCAUCCAAGAUGCCUGCAACUCUAUUGAAAAUCAGACACAUGGAGCAGCAUCAUCUAGUAAUGAUGCUACGAGUCUUAAUAUUGUCCCUGUGCUCCAUGAGUCUACUGUUAGGUGGUUUUUGUUUUACCUUUCGUACUGCAUCGGUUGCUUGCGUGAUACUUUAUCAUACAUCAAAGAAAUCACAAACAAGUUAACCUUACGAGCAAAGAUCCCCAUAUUGGAUGAAACCACAAACAAUUCAGCAGGAAAGGGCACCAAACUGGAUGAUAAUUAUGCAGCUAGCACUCAGGUCCAAGCUGAUCACUGUAAUAACAUUGUCCUAUAUAAUUUCCACUACACUGUUGUAUUUCUGUUUUUUUUUUCACCCUCCCCCAUCCCUCCCAUUUAUGUUUUUGCAUUGCAGUAUCUUUGAAUCCAUCCUUAAUUGGGUCCUAUGGCUUCUUCUGAGAAGCUGCCAGAGUUGGAAAAGGGUGUCAAUGGCGAGUCUAUUCUCUGCAGCUUGUAUGAUAUAGAAGAUAACUCUAUCCAGAAUUAUACCAGCUGAAUUCUUCACGGUCUCGAGAACUUCAUGUUGGUCGUUGAGGACAAAAUUGUCGAAUUAGUAACCAAACCUCCAGCACAAGGUAAUGCAAUUAAAUCUUCUUCCCAACUGAUGAUGUCAUUGUCUCCUUAGAUGACUUGUAGUUUUUGCUUGUUUCCAAAAAUUAAAUUCACUUGGGGUUUUGUGUUUUUCUUUCCUUUUAGCUCUCUUUCUCAUUCCCAUCAUGUUUCUUGUUACAGAUGGCAGCAAGAUCUCUUCCAAUAUCUACAACAUUUUGCUAGUUCUGAAAGAGAUUUUGGCAAACAUGGGAAUCCAUGCUGAAGUUUGUGAACACGACAAAAGUGAGUUUACACUUAUUUCUUUUUACUUGUUAACAUUUCCAAUUAACCUCCUUGAUUAAUUAGUGUAAUCGCUUUCUUUUUUAUUUAUUAACAAGAUUUGGAAGGAUCAGAAGUCUAUUACCACAUUCAAGAUCUUGUGGAUGAUUGGGAGCCCUCUGGGAAUUGUCACGUCAACUGCCAAAGCACUCUCGACUCAGGUGAUCUGAAAGACUCAGUUGACAGAAUCAAAAGCAAAGAGGCUAGCUGCCUUUUGUGAAUUGGUGGACAAACAGUAUGACUUGUUUCUGACCAGAAUUGAAAGAGGUGUGUGGAGUAUUAUGUGUUUUUACCCUGCGAAAACGUUUGUGUGUUUUAGUAAGCCAAGUAAAAUCCAGUUUUUCUCGAGCUACCAUUUUCAACUUAAUGUUGUUAUCCUCUGGCAUCUGAACUCUUUUUUACAGGAUUUGUGAAGCGGAAGUUUGUUGACAUCCAAUCUGCUGCAUGCUGUUGAAGCUGUGUGAUAAUGUGUUCGAGUCGUAUGCACUCAAUUCCGACGAGCACACAGUGGCAUUAGGCUGUAAAGAAGAACUUAGGGAAGUGACCAAGGGACUGGGAAAUGAUAUAUUCACCUCAAUUUCCGCUAUGACUGAGUUUGGUGAAGCUAGAAGCCCGUUCUACAUGGCAUUCGAAAGGUUAUUGAAUUGAUAGACCCUGUUCAAAGGAUGUCGGUUUGGUAUUCUGACUGAACUACUGACAUAAUGUGUUGUGGUUUUUGUAUUAAGUUUUACUAUGACAUGAUUGGGGUAGGGUAGUACUGUUCUAUGGAUGAAACUUUAAAUAUGACCCACAAAAACUUUGAUUAUGAAACUCAUUUUGUAAAUGGCAAGUGAGGACCUAAUUUAGGUUUUCUUUAUGUUUUGUUUAAGGACUAAGCUGAAUGAUGCUGGCAAUGUCAAAUUUCUUUCAUGUUCCAACUGAUUGUGUGAAAACGUUUCCUCAAGUUGUGCAUGAUGUCUGCAAAGUAGUACACAUUUGGUUGCACAGUUUCCUCUUCUGUUUUUAGCAGCUACAAUCCAAUGAACAAUAGGCCACAAGUUGAUUAUAAGAUCUGCUACAUGUGGAUGAGAGUUACAGGCAAGACAUGCACAGGUUGGACGACCCUUGUUGCAACCGUGAAUACUGUCACCCUGAAUCUUUUCUAGUGGUCUAAACUUUGAAUACCACCAUGACCCUAAAUUGGUAGCAUGAUUCAUAAAUUGUUACUCCAGCAAGAAGGUAUCAGACAAAAUAUUCUGGUCCAUAGAGCAGUUGCGUACCCAGCUCCCAAGAAUUCCAGAUUCUAUCAUACAAAGCAGCCUCCCUGUCCCAUUGGUACAAAAAUUGUCACUGGAAAGUUUAUGAUGCAAAUUUGCUAAAGGGAUGCUUCAAGACUCAAGAGUUCAAGGGCAAGACAGUCUGCAGUCCAAACUCUUCAUUUAUUCACUCCCAUUUAAACAUGCAAUCAAAAGGGAAACAGUAAAACACCACAUAAUUGAAGUUAGUAAAGAUAGGAACGUUUUUUAAUUAACCACAAGAAGUGUGAUAGGACUUAGUCAUGCUACUGUAAUUAUUAAUUAACAAUUAACAAACCAGUUUAAUUAGAGUAAGACCUAAUCUUGAAUCCAUGUUUUAGAUUACCAAUUUAUUGAUUAACACAUUUUUAUUGGCCAACAAAAAGGACACAUCUAUUUGUCAUGAAUCUUAGGCCUGCUUUAAGAAUACAAAAAUUGUUCAGCUUUGCUUGUAUUUAAACAACUGUACCAUGUAACCCUAAGGCAUCAGUCUAGAGCUUCAAUCUUCUUGAUAUUCAUUAAUUUGCUCUAUCUUUCUAAUUAUUCAAAUUAGAAUAGAGAUGAUAGGAUCGAGUGCUAUGCCUUCCAACUCAAUAUAUGAAAGCUUGAAGAGGUAUUGGAAAAGACGAAAUUACCAACGAUUAGAGGGUGGAGCAACAAAAAGUAAAAACAACUUUAAGAUCAUGAGGUUUGGAGCAAGCAACCGAAGCCACAAACCACUACCAGAACUACAAACCAAAAGCCAAGAAUCGCGAAGAAAGCUUGUAGUGAAGUUUCAUGAUGCUUAUCUUGAAAUGAUGCUUGGUCUGUCAUUCAAAAUUAGAUCAUUAGAUGGUGAAAAUAUGUUUGGAAGGAAGAGAAUUCCUAAGGCUGGCAAGGUAAACAAAGGAUCACUAUUUGAGGAAAAUGAGAAGAAGUUGUUUUUUGAAAUUUAUAGUAUUCUUUUGGCUUCUCGCGAGUUUGCUGUUUUAGAAUGAUCCUAAUGUGAUUUUUUUUUGCCAAUCUAAUUCUUCAUCUUACUUGCACAAUGAUAUUCAUAUUCAAUGAACCAAACUUCUGCUUGCCUGCAUUGCAAUAUCUCAUAAAUCAACAAAUUGCAUUGCACACUUGUUGCAAUUAACUUAUGCUCAUAAUUCCCUGUCAAGGACAAAGGACAAAGGACAAAGUUGUGGGUCAUGUGCAUGUGGCAAGUAAAAGUAGCUAUCAUAGCUGACCUGGAACUCUUGUUCCAAUACAUAAAAACAAACUUUCAAUCCAACGGUUGUAUUUAAUUGAGGAAGCUGUUACCAAAUCUCAAGUAAUUUUAAUUUCCAUAAAAAUAAUGAUAUGUUUGACACACCAAGUUGUGCAGAUCUCAAGAAAUUUUGUGUUAGACUAGUUGAUCAAUCCAAUCAAAUUCCCAAGAUUUUAUGCAAAGGACCCUGGUCCCAUUCUUUGAAACGCAAAGGCAUGGUGAGUGUGGGACCAGAAUUUGAGCUAAAAGCCUAAAACGUGAAAAGUUGCUCAACUGUACAAUUAUCAAUCUACUGGUCAAGCUUCUCUCUUCUUAGCUCCAAAACCAUAACCCAUUCUAGAUAAAAGACUUCUUCUAAACAUACACACUAAAACUUGUAAUACAUCAAGAUUGAAGGAAAUGGAAAUUAGAGCUUGGGAAGAUAAAGCUCCAUAUCUUCCUUUACAAGAAGAAGAUGAUGAUGAAGUUAUUGCCAAAGUUGUUGCUGAUGAUUCUCGUUUGAAUCAGCUCGGUUACAAGCAAGAACUAAGCCGUACACUCUCGUAAGUCUUCUUUCUAGUUGUAUUUCAAUUUUCAACCAAUAUGAACUUUUAGUUUCAUUCAUUUCAUAGAAAUGGAUUCUUUCAUAUUGCUACUUUCUGUUCAAUGCACAACCUCUACAUGUAUUUCUUGGAUCUAUAAUUUUAAUUAAUAGUUUAGAAGGGCUUAUAAAAUGUGAUUUUAUUCUGUGAUGCAAAAAGGUGCACAAUGCCACAAUGUACAUGGACAAAAUAUGGUGCAACUCUAAAUUAAAUUCCAAUGUAACACACCUCAUAGGCUCAUAUAUACUGUGCUUACUAAACAUUGGGUCCUUCUAGGGUGCAACGCGGUUCGACACAAAAGUUAUCAUUCCAUAUAAUAACACAAGCCAUUCCAUUUAGUGGCCAAGUUGUCAUUUAGGUCUUACCGACUUACCUGAUUGAUCGAAUCGAUUAAAUCAAUAAUUUUGUAGAGUAAUUUUGAUGUCAUUUCGCAGAAGUUCUUAUUGUUGUUGGUUGUUUGAACUUUGGCGAUGAAGAUUUAUGUGCAUAUAUGUGUAGGGCUGUAUCGAAUUUUGCUGUGACAUUCUCUAUCAUAUCUGUGCUAACCGGUCUGACAACUACUUUCAACACUGGACUUACAUUUGGUGGGCCAUUGACAAUGGUAUAUGGGUGGUUAAUUGCCGGUUUCUUCACUCUCUUUGUGGGUUUUUCAAUGGCUGAGAUAUGCUCUUCCUAUCCAACUUCUGGUGGGCUUUAUUUCUGGAGUGCAAAGCUUUGUGGAAACGACUGGGCCCCUUUUGCUUCUUGGAUCACGGGCUGGUAUGUUCCCAGUUUUUAUUUUGGGUCAUGCCUUCAUUUCAAGGCCUACAUAGUGUUUCUGUAAUAAAUGUUAAUUUUUAUUUUUUUUUUCAUAUUUUUCAUAACAAAAUUUUGGUUACCCCUGCUUGGUUACCCCGCAAAAUUUUGCAUGAAAAUUAGCCUAAUUUAAUAUGCUUGAAACUCUUUAUAAUUAGUUUUAUGAACAAAAUUUAUGCAAAAAUUUGGUGUUAUUUCAAAAGUGCAAAAUUUUUACACCUUUCUCUAAUAAACUUAGUAGGGGACCACCUAUGAUUAUCUCAUGUUUAUGCAAGGUUUAAAUGGGGGACCAAUAGGGUUUAAACUAAAAUAGGUAGGGGUCCAUCCAAAUCAAAGAGUAAACUUGGAGGGACCACUCUAACUAUAGAUGGGUAAAGAUUUGUCUUUUUUGCAGCCCAAACAAGCAGGGCCAUAAUUGAUCCCCCCUAGGGACUCAAAUUUUCUCUCAAACAAGCAAAAAGGGAACACAAGAAAUGAAAACAUGCUUUCCAUAUUGAUUGGACCAGUUAGGUGACAUUUUGUUGAAUGAAUAAUGCAUAUACAGUAUAUAUUUUGGGUGAAAGUCAUUUAUGUUUUUGUCACGUAUGUUAUCAAAAAUUUCUCUACGUAGACAUUCAACAAUUCCACCCUAGACUGCUAGUAUUGAUUCCUAAAACUUAGAGGAAAAUGUGGGAAAAAAAUGUGGAUGCAAUUGGAUGCAAACUUGUUUACACAAAAUUAGAAAACACCUCUCAAAAUGUCAAUGAUUGGCUCCACCAUCAUAUAAUGGGUAGUCAAUUACAGGGGUGGCAGUUUUUGACACGACCCGCAAAACUGACCCGAACACGACCCGUUAUUUAAUGUGUUCGGGUUGACCUGUUAUCUGGUCCGUGCUAUUAAUGGGUCGACCUGCUUUCACCCAUUCAACAAAUGGGUUGUGUCGUGUAAACCCAGCGUGUCAUAUCGUGUUUGAACAAACAAAUCUCUCCCAUAAGAAAUUGGAUCUAAAAAUUAAACUUUUACCAUACUCAUUCGGUCAUUCUUCUACUUCCCCAUACUCAUACUCUUCACCAACUUAAAAGCAAAAUCCCCAUCCAUCACCUUUAGCAGCAGUGCAGCACAAGGAUAAAGAAGUGUAUUGAAGUGAUAAUUUACAAAAAAAGAAAAAAAGUGUAUUGAAGUGAUUGUGAUUUAAACGAAGAUUUUGUGAAAUUGUUUUCUCGUAAGGUGAAAGUGCACCAGCAAGAUCAUUGGUUUUUGAACAAGUACCUUGAUUUGAAUUUGAAUUCUCCAUUGAUGAUGAUGAAAGAAGAAAAUUGAAGUUGUUAUUUAAGAUUAAUCCAAGUUAUAGAAGGAUUAAUUAAGACGAUUUUCAAUUUAAGUAAAGCUAUUUCUGUUUUGGGUUUAGUUUAACACUUCAACUUAAAUGGUUGAGAGGGAAGAGAAGACAAGAAGAAAGGCGUGCGUGUCAACCGUGUCCAGAUCGUGUAACCCGUUGGAUAAAGGGUCGUGCUCGGGUUGACCUGAGUUGACCUGUUUAACAACCGUGUCAUUCUCGUGUAGACCUGUUAUAACCCGCGACCCGAUAUAGACCCGACACAAAUACGACCCGACACGACCCAUUUGCCACCCCUAGUCAAUUAGAUCAUGGGACCCUUAAAAAAUUAAGGAGUAAUUCAGUCAGUCAAGUAGUAGCCAACCCAAAUACCCAAUACAUCUUUCCAUUCCACACGGAGUUAACAAACAUCAAAUCCCAAGGAUCAAAGAAUCUGUAUUUAUAACUCCAAGCAAGAUUCCAAAACAAUGAUAAACAAUCAGCUUGAUUUGCCAUGUUGUCCUUAUUUGCCUUCAGUGUCUUGGUUUGACCAAAGACAUGUCCACACUCCACACUCUUGGUUCUAUAGAUGAGAAACAAGGCAAUCUCAUUGAAGAAUAUUCAACAUAGAGAGGAACUGAGAUCAAGAGCUUUUAUAGAGCCAAAAGUCUGGGAUUACUUUUUGUUUCUGUGAAAAAAUGGUCUGGAGACGUGAAGUGAUCCCUGUAUCUUCUCAGGUUCCAAAUGGAGAUACUGUUUCGUCAAUGGAUUCAGGACAGUCUCGUCUUAAUCAACUAGGUUAUAAGCAAGAACUCAAGCGUGAUAUGUCGUAAAGUUUCUCCAUCUUUUCGCCUGUUUUUUUUUCUUUUGUACUUCUUCCGCAGUCAUUUCUAUUGGUACCCCCAAUUCACUAUCAUGGAUGAAUUGUGGGAUUUUUCAUUUUUGAGUCAUUUCUUUUGGAUUUUUCAUUGCAGGGUAGUUUCAAAUUUCGCCUUCUCGUUUUCGAUCAUAUCAGUGUUAACAGGGAUAACCACCCUGUAUAACACUGGAUUGAAGUUUGGGGGUCCUAUUGGUAUGAUUUAUGGAUGGUUUAUUGCUGGAUUUUUUACCUUAUCUGUUGGUUAUUCCAUGGCUGAGAUUUGUUCAUCUUACCCAACAUCUGGGGGUCUUUAUUACUGGAGUGCCAAGCUUGCUGGUCCCAAAUGGGCACCAUUUGCUUCUUGGUUGACAGGCUGGUAAUUACUUACUAAAAAUUUAUUCCAUUCAUCUCAUCGUAAAUUCUUCUAAUCUUGUUUCCAUUUUCACUCAAUUUGCUGAGUGGAACUCUAGUCCUGAUUUUUGUGAUUAUUGAUGCUAUACUUUGAUUUGUGUAUGUUGCACUUGCAAUGCUUGGUAAACCAUAAAAAUAGAGACGUCACAGAAUACAUGUAAAAGUUUCGGGUGAUUACAUCACCUAUUAGGAAAAAACACAUUGAAGUGGAGUAUGACACGAGUUAUUUAAUUUUGCCUUCAAUGCUAUACUUAGAUUUGUGUAUCUUGCAGUAUUUUCCCUUCAAUGUCCACACUCCUGAUUUAAAUUUUUUUUUUCUUCAAUUACUUUGCCGCCUUCUUGUUCAUUGAAGGUCUCCAGUGAAAUAUCAAAAUCUCUUGCUUUUCCUGUGAGAAAAUUUGCUUUGUAAAAACAACCAGCAUUAGCUAUUUAGCUCUCUCUAAUUUAUCUCUCACGCUCAAACAAUUAAAAAAAAAAAAAACAAAAAAAAAAAACACUCACUCUAAGCUUCUUAUGCUCAUCCCCUUUAAACUUUUUAUGCAGGUUCAACAUAGUUGGUCAGGUAUUCUUACAAUCAGACCUUUUUCGUUAUCUUCUUGAAAGCCACACUUGUCGCUGACUUAUUGGGUAUAUUGCAAGUUCAUUCAGGGCUCUGAUCAUUUGACGACUUUUACAUUUGCAGUGGGCUGUUACAACAAGUGUAGAUUUCUCAUUAGCACAGCUUAUUCAAGUUAUCAUUCUGCUUAGUACUGGUGGAAACAAUGGUGGUGGAUAUUUAGCUUCAAAAUAUGUAGUUAUAUGCUUCCACGGAGGAAUUCUAUUUUUACAUGCCUUAAUAAAUAGUCUUCCCAUCACAUGGUUAUCCUUUUUCGGACAGCUUGCUGCAUUAUGGAAUGUUGUAGGUAUGUAAUAUUUCCGUUUCUUUAUAUGACCUUUUAUUGCAGGAUGCACUGAAUGAAGCUUCCACUUUAACCUGCACCUUUGUUGGUGUUGCUAGGCGUUUUUGUGCUUAUGAUAUUGAUCCCUACUGUCACCACUGAAAGGGCCAGUGCCAAGUUUGUUUUCACUCACUUCAAUACGGAUAAUGGGGAUGGAAUCCACAGUAAACCUUACAUAUUUCUUCUUGGCCUCUUAAUGAGCCAAUAUACACUUACAGGGUAUGAUGCAUCUGCUCAUAUGGUACGUUAUGAUUCAUUUUGGUUUUAUCAAAUAAUUUGGACUGAAGCUGGAUACAUAUCUACGUCAUUUUUAACUAUCAAUGGAAACAGUUUUCCAUUUUGUCAAGCCUUCAACCUUUGUUGUGGUUGUCACAGUAAUGCCUUGGUUCUGUUAUUGUCUUUUGCAUGCAUUAAGUUAAUUGCACUGAUGAUGUAGCCCAGUAUGUUUAAUGGCAUUUGUUUAACUGACUAUUAGCUUUGACAUGUCCAACCUAUACAUAUUCAAGCAACCUUAAAGACACUACUGCAUCUUCAUAAGUGCUUUUGUAACCUGUUCAGUGAAUGUUAUGUUCAAGUAUGAAUGAAGGUGUUUAGACCUUCCUGAGUUCAGCAUCUUCGAUCUCCUUUUCUUGUCUCCACAAUUUUUGGAAACCAAUAGUUUGUUAGCAAUAAGAAAUUCAUGUUUUCUAUUUUAUUUAAUUUUUUGUUUAAAUUCUUCUAUCAGACAGAAGAAACAAAAAAUGCAGAUACAAAUGGGCCAAAAGGAAUUAUAAGUGCAAUUGGAAUAUCUAUCAUUGUUGGAUGGGGUUACCUUCUUGGUAUCACAUUUGCAGUAACUAACAUACCACAGCUUCUGAGCACGGACAAUGAUGCUGGUGGUUAUGCCAUUGCAGAGGUGUUUUAUCAAGCCUUCAAGAGUAGAUAUGGUAAUGGAGUUGGGGGCAUUAUUUGUUUGGGCGUAGUUGCUGUCGCCAUAUUUUUCUGUGGCAUGAGUUCAGUCACAAGCAACUCUAGGUGAUCAUCUCUCCACCGAUAGCUUCCUACAUAAUUCAUUGUUAUGGUAAUUUCAACCUCCUUCGUUCUUUAUCAGCUACUUAUGUUUCCUUUUAUUUAACUUGCAGGAUGGCAUAUGCGUUCUCAAGAGAUGGAGCUAUGCCCUUUUCAUCAUACUGGCACAAAGUUAACAAGCACGAGGUCCCUCUAAAUGCUGUCUGGUUCUCUGUUUUUAUAUCCUUUUGCAUGGCAUUAACGGUUAGUAAAUCUUGGUUUUUCAUUUUAUCUAUGUCACAAUAUUAUAUGGAUUUCCUAUCUGUACGUAUAGUAUGAAGUCUUACUUGCCUAGAACUUAGCAGAGUGGUAGUUUGUUAUUCAAUAUUAUCGCAAUAUUGCUGAGUUACUCUAAAGUUCAUUAAGUAUGGAUCAUUCGAUGUUGAUGGAGUUAUUCCUCAUUUUGUGUAUAUAAUGCAGUCUCUCGGGAGUCUUGUGGCUUUCCAAGCUAUGGUGUCAAUAGCAACUAUUGGGCUUUACAUUGCUUAUGCCUUACCGAUAUUCUUCCGUGUGACACUGGCCCGCAAGUCCUUCGUUCCAGGACCUUUCAACUUGGGACGCUAUGGGGUAUUGGUGGGUUGGGUUUCAGUUCUUUGGGUGGCAACCAUCACAGUUUUAUUUUCUCUUCCUGUGGCUUAUCCCAUCAAGACGGACACUCUGAACUACACUCCUGUUGCAGUUGGUGGCCUUCUCAUCAUUACUGUUUCGUGGUGGAUUGUUAGUGCACGACAUUGGUUUAAAGGUCCUAUAACUAACCUAGAUAGUUAAAUAAACAUGUGAUAUUGAUUGUCCAUUUACUAUUAGUUGGAACUCCUUUUGUUCUCAGUUGGGUCUAUUUCCAUAUCUCAUUUUGUACAUCUGAAGCCAGUAAAGAGCCAUCAGAGACUACUUCAGUCCACCAACUGCUACUUUCCGCAAAAAAAAAUGUACAGUUUUGUGGUGUCUGUGUUUCUGAUCAUGGAUUCAAAGUAAUUGUAUGAUAAGGAAUACAAUACUAAAAGAGACAAUUGAAACCUCAAUUCACAACAUAAACUUUGUUUCAAAAUGUUCAUACAUUCUUUCAAAUUUAGGUGUCUGCGCCAUUUGCAGUUCCUAAUGUAUCCUAUGCAAUCAGUAUGAUUAUCACGAAAUGAGCCCUUUUGCGAUAUUAAGUGAGAAAUAGAAUAACCGCAGUUUAGUGUCAAGUAUAUAUUCUCAUUGACCUUCACCAUCCCUCAUUGCACUUGAUACCUCAUCUCAGAAACCCCCACUAAUCUUAAUUUAGUACCAACAUUAGAAUAGUUUAAUCAUGAUUACUGACACAAACACAAGUAACAAGUUUUAUCACUUGUAAUGGUUCACCAAAUUGAAAAACUUAAAUGAGCCAGGCCCAAAUCUAAAAGCUAUCAUAACAUUGGAAGCAGGUCUCUGGCCCCAUUCGGAUCCCGAGUCAGUUUAGUUAAGUGCAAUCCCAAUGGGAGGGCAUUUGAGCGAAAUGCCUUCUCAGCUAAAAUUCCUUUGCCAAUGGAACAGUGGGUCAAACAUUCAACGGUGGAUAGAAGUUCCAAUGGCAUUUGAGAGGGGAGUAGAGUGCCAUCCAAAAUACCAUGUUAAUUGCAUAAGACGGAACACCGUGUUCCAAUUUAACACUUUUUCGGAACACACAGUUUCGUCUUAUACACUUUAUAUGUUAAUUGCAUAAGACGGAACACCAUGUUCCGGUUUAACAUUUUUUUGGAACACACAGUUUCGUCUUAUACACUUUAUAUCUUAUAUGAAAGUUGAAGUUCCGUCUUAUAGACUAACUUUUCAGGAACUCUAAAUUUCGUCUUAUAAACCAUUUAAUUUUUGUAAACUGACAUUUUCAAAUUUUCUCGUGGAGAGAGUGAUUUUGAAGGUGGUUUUGCUUACGUGGCACAUACAUAGAGUGCACCAAACUGCCCUCCUAUUGGGAUUGCUCUAAAGAGAAGCAGAGAACUUUAGCGGGAUUGAUAAAUUGUUCGAAACUUCAAAUCGUCGAACGAAUCAGAUUCUCUUUCUCCAACACUUCAGUCUCGAGAUCAAGAAGAAGAAGACAGCUUUCUCUUAAAAUGGUGAUUUCUCUCUCUCCUCUCUCUCCUCACUUUCUCUCUUUUCAUCGCGUGUAAUUUAAUUUAAUUUAGAUUUUUUUUUUCUGAUUUUCUUAUUUUCUAGGGUUUUGAUUGUUCUUUUUUUUAUACAGGAUGAUUCAAUAGAAGAAGAAUUCGAACCACUUUUUGAUUAUAGUCGAGUUCAACCAAUCAAUUUCAUAUCUAUUGAUGGUAAGUUUGAACUUUUUUUGGUUUUCAAUUCGUUCUUCAAUUUUAUUUAUUUAGGUUCUUCAGAUCAAAAUUUCGUGUGUUAUUUAUAGACGAUUUAUCUGAUUCGGAGAAUGCGUUGAUUCCAAAGAGAUUAAAGAAAGAUGAGAAGAAGGAAGAACCAGUGGUAAUUGGUUUGUUUUUAGUUUUUAAAUUGUGAAAUUUUUAGUUUGAGAUUUGGAAAAUUUGUGCUUUUUGGUUUAUUGGUUGUUUGUUUGUUUGUUUUUGUGAUUAGAGUGGAAAUGUUGUGAAGGCCACUGUUUGUGAGGUUAUAGACGAAGAAGAUUGGUUGCCGCCACCACCGAAGACUUUGAAUGGUGCCCGGAAACAUGACCAGGAGAACUCAACGAUAAAGGAGUUAAGGUGAAUACAUAUAUCCAUAUCAUCUAUGCAUUGUUAUAAGGCUGUUGCUGUUGCUUUUGUUGUAGAAAGAUACAAUUUUGUUUAGCAUAAGUUAGAAUUGACCUGGUAUGGACCAGAGCUUCCUUGUAAUAUAAACACAUCACAGCAUAAGUGAGAACUGAGCUGAUAUUUCUAAAUCGUAGAUAGAGUGGUAAUAAACAUUACUGUAUUCCAUUAUUUAACAACACAUGGAAAGAAAAAGUAGGAUCGUAGGAGUAACAGAGCUGUACCUUGAGGUGAAUGAGCCAUCUUAGAUUCCUUAGUUAGGAUCCCAUCAAACCUUUUGACCUCUAGCUUUUAUAGAGGCUUUAAUUUACUACAUAUGGACCAUGUUCUGUGGACUAAGCUUAUGCAUAAUGGAGUUGGGAUAAAAGCUUACUCGUAAGAAGCAUAUGGUCGAGGAAUUAAUUAUUGGAAGUUGAUUUUGUUGCACCCAAGUCUUACCGUGUUGUUAUCUGAGUUGAAAUUUUUUGUUUGUCAUUUAUAAGAGUAAUAUAUGUGCUCUUCUGGGUGAGCCUUUCUCCAGGAGUAUUGGAAUAAGCUUCCAAUACGAUUAUGUUGUUGGAUUAAGCUUUAAAUCCAUUGCCUUUUCUGACAAUAAUAGUUAGUCUUUCAAAUAAUCCCCAAUUUCAUAAGUAGUAGUUUUUGCAUUAUUGAGCUUAAGUCACACUAGUUAAAUUAUGCAUGUUACAUAUUCAGCUUUAGGUUUUGGGAGGGUAUGAAUGCAAAAAAAGCUAGAUUUUGUGAGGAUGUUUCCCAUGGUUUGCACAACUUGGCCUUAGGUAGUGUGAUGUGAUAUCUGUUGAAAAGUUUUUAGUUAGACUGUUAGAGAAAAAUUGAUGUCUUUCUACUUUUGAGAACACGGAUUAGCUGAUCUUGGGUUGUCAACAUUUCUCAUGGGGUAUAAACAUGGCAGCUGUUUGCUGACGUGGUUGGAUAAAAGGAUCAUCAACAUGUUGGACUCGAUCUGGAUCAGCUCUUUCUUUAGUAUCGAGUUUUUUAUAACAUCAGGUUUUCCAUGGGGUAAAGUGUGGAUAAAAUUGAUGGUUUCCAGAUUAUGGGUAAAGUCAACUUGGUCAGUAUUUGGUCUCUAUUGGGAGACUCCACCUAGUAAGUGUGCUGUAUUCAUAGUUUGUCAUCUACUGUGAUGUUUCUUUACAUUGUGUUUGUCUUUAACUUCUUGUCCCUUUUCUUUCCAUUUGAUUAUUUUAUCGCUCUUCUUUUAUGCAUACAUUAAUUUAUCUAAUUUAUACAGGUUAAAGAAGCAGGAAUUGGCUUCAUUCGCUCAAUCAGCUGAAGAGGUGAUCCGAGCUGUUGAGGAGUCUGCGAAGAAACACGUUGCUAGUACUAAGCAAUCUUCUUUGGGAUCUGAGCAGGAAAAGGUGGUUUCAAUGCCUCCCGAUGACAGGGUGAAGAUUAUUAUAUCUAUUCAGGACAAAGAAGGACAAAAGCAAUUUCGCACAUACACGGUACAGUUUCAUUUGACUAGUUCUGUCUUUGUUCUCUUCCCCACUUCCCUUAUUGUAUAAUAUUGUUUUGAGCAUGUAAUAAGGGCAUUUGGAUCUGCUAGAAAUUUAAUACGUUGUAUUUUAUCUUUCUUUUCGUUUUUAGUAUGUUAAUAUGUUUAUAUUUUGUUUCUUCGUCAACUUUUAUUACAAACGGCGCUAUAAAUGGGAAGGGCUCUUUAGCAAUCUAUCCCAGCAAAAGAACUAAUAGUAGGAUAAAGUUAAUCUAGAGCCUACGUAUAUAACCAUGGCCGUUUGUUUAAGAGAUGACCUUUCUUAAUUCUGGUCUAAAGGAUUAAGCUAUCAAGUUAAGAUCCAGUUUCUAUUUAAGAUGGACAUGAAGAAACUAUGUAGACCAUCUUUGCAUUUCUUCUCUUCUUUGUCUCUCUCAGAUUCCUGAAAUUGAGAUUGCUGUAUGCUAUACUUGUCUGGGCUUUCCUCACUUAUUUGAUUGUUUAAGUUAUUAUAGAUACCCUUCAUUGAUGAUCUAUGCUCCAAACAUUCUCAAAGACCAGAAGAGUAAAUGGAAAAAUCUUAUAAUAAACUACAAACAAAUCAGAUACCUAUGAAAUUAUUAGUGCCAAAUUGAUGUGAUCCACUUCAGGCCAAAUGUGUUGUGUCCCCUUGAUCAACGAAAAAGCAAAAAUAAAACAAAACAAAAAAUGUGGAUCUUUGCAGAAAGAUGCUGCUUCUGACAUCAGUUUCUGAUUGAUUGAAUGAUGAAAGAUUGAUUGGAGCAUCCAGUUUAUGCAUAUGCUGUUGUGCGUGUUUCUGUGGCUCAGGCAUCCUCAUAUGCUUAAAGGUCAUCUAAUCCCAGGAAUUCUUAAAAGAUGGUCUUUUGGAACACAGCCUGAAUGAUCCCAAGGAAGAGGACAUCAAUAUGGCAAACUUGAUCAGUUUUCUUUCUCUGGAUAAUACGCCAGGUCGCCAGCCAGCUGAACCAUGUUCGAUGUUAUAUUUUAUCACCUUGAGAUUUGCGAAGAGAGUAAUUUGUGUUAGUGUGUAAUCUUCCUACCUGCAUGUUGAUAUAUAUAAACAUGUGGUUCUUGGUACAAUUGUGGAAUAUACGGAGCUUAUUUUCUGAUGUAUGUGUUGUGCGGCUGAGUUAAUUUAAUAUGCUUGUUUUCUAGAAUGUAAAGUGGUGUCAAUAUUGUGAUCUUCCUAAAGUGACCCUUUUCUUCCCAACUAUGGAUAUCUGCAAUGGUGUCUAUAUUGUGCUAAAUAUUUCGUUCAAGUUCAAAAAAAAAGUUUAAUUUAUCUCUAUAAAUAUCAACUAGUUUUUGUGUUUCUCUAUAUUGUGUUAAAUUUUUUCUGUCUGAACUUUGGAGAAAUCUUAAGAGGGAAGUUAUCUCUUCACUAUGUAACUCAGAGCUAACCACAAAUAUUUAUUUUCUCUGACUGUAGGAUGAAAAGCUUGAAAGAGUCUUCAAAGCAUAUGCUGAGAAAAUUAAUCUGGACGUAGGGAGCUUGAUCUUUUGUUUUGACGGGGAUAAAAUUAGUGCCACUGCAACCCCUGGUGAACUUGAUAUGGAGGAUAAUGACAUCAUUGAAGUGCGUACAAAGUCGAGCUAAAGUCUGUGCUAGUACUUCAGUAGUUCAGUGGCAUUGGUUUUUGAGUUUGUCUAUAUGAUAUUGAUUGUCUACUUUAAUCUUUUUGCUAAUUUUGGUUGGGAGUGAGCUUCGAUAAUUGUAAUUAAUAUAACUCUGCGUUAAAUUCAGAAAUUCUAUCAAGUGGAUUUGAACUUGAUUGGUGGAAAGGCCAAUUUUGUAAUCACAAUGAUUGGACUGCUAUAUUUUGGAAAAUAUAAUUAUCUAUGGUACAUUGUUACGAUGUUUUUGGUAGCUCAAACACUUUUUAAGUCAUCUCUUUGCCUCGUGUGUUCAUAAAGGAAUAGAUGAGCAGAUGAUUUUGCAGGAGGAUGAGACUCUUGUUGUUGCCUGCAAAUUAAGUAGAGAACGGAUUGGCAAAAUAUUGAUUCAGAUCUGGCUGAGUAUUGGUUCAGCACUAAGUCAAUUGUCCAGAGAGUUUGAGGGUUCUUAAAACAGAUGUUUAAUCCGAACCAUUUCUGAUCAAUGGUUCAACCAGCCUGCCAGACUGCAUCAAGGUUGAAAAGGAUAAAUACAAAUUUGCACCUACCUUUGUAAGUUCUGCAUCUAGAUCAGCAAAGUGUUCACUUCUUUUUCGCCAGGUUUCAUUUGAUUUGUGGAUUGGAUGAUGGAAAAACCAGCAAGCUAUGGCUUCAAAGCCUACGCGCGCAGUGAACUAUUAUUGUGAAAAGGUUGGAAGAUCUGGCCAAAGAAGGUGAUAACCCUGUAGAUUCGUUCCCAUGGUUCGAUCCUUCCCAGUAAGGUUUGAGUUAUUGACACUUGAGAGGUGUCUUGUGGUUUACCUUCGAGUCUGCUAACCUGAUGGUUUUGUUGGUCAAACAAGUAGUUUACUCUCAAUGGAAAGAGCCACCAUCUGAGAUGACAAGUUUUGGUAAUGUAUUUUGUGUUGGUUGGGGAAAGACAAGCGGAUGAAUCUGUACACAGGCCAUAUGAUUAAUGUUGUCAGUGGUUUAUUAAUUUUAAGUAGAAGAAUUGUAGUGGUUUAAGUCAAGUUCUCAUCGAUUAAUGUCUGUCUGUCUGCCACAGUCUUGCAAAUCAGGUAGUAUUAUCAAACUUCAUAGAUGUUAAUCAAAAGUUCAAAACUAUUCAUGGCUGGUGGUUCAAUAAGCCUGACUGCAUCACCAAUCUUGAUAAGAAAAAAAAUAUUACUUCAGGGUGAAAUUUUCAGAGGGGUGUGUUGUGAGAUUCGGCAAGUGAAUGGGUCACGACCACUUUAUUUAGCUUCCCAAAACAUUGUAAGCUUUGUUACGGACAUGCAACUACUUUAGGAAGCUAAGGAUUGAAUUUCUGUCAAUAUUGUGUGUAAGCAUUCCAUUUGCGAUUUCAAUCUCUACAGCAUUACUUGAUUGAAGAAUGGAAUGAACAAAAUAGCACCAUGAUGUUUUCAAAUUAGGCUCAUUGUGACAUGUCAUUUUCCAAGUAUGCUACGGUUGAAUGUUCCCCUGUUCCAUUUGUACCAACUUGAAUGUAGACAGGGCCAACAACUUGGAUUAUAAAGUAUUCCCUGUUGCUAUUUUGAAGAUACUUCCAGGACAUGAAAUGUAGGUAGGGCAUUACUUACUGAACCCUUUAAGAUAUCAUCAUUUCUUGAACAAACAAAGAUAAAAAGAACAGGAAAUAAGAAGAAAAAAAUGAAGAUAUAUCAUCAUUGCGAAGAGGUUGGUUGGUUACUCCGAGAACAAAAAUGUAUCAUGUAGCCAAUGAGAAAAUGGCAGAAGUACAUGGUGCACAAACCCCACCAGCCCUCAACUACCUUACAGCCAGUAACAGAUACAGAGCCAACAAGGGUAAGAUUCAAGAAUGAAACAGAACAGCUUUGCUUUCAACUACCAACUGAAGAGUUUAUUCUCCUUGGUUUCUCCACAUGAGCCGAUAGCCACCACCCAUAUGGCCACAUCUAGUUUACAAUAUUUAUGUAAUCUCCUCAGCAUAUUUAUGAUAUAGUUUUAAACUUUUAAUCAUUGGUAUAAGUAGUUUCUCUUCCCCAAUUAUGAAAUUCUUGGUUAUAUACAAAGCAACUUACCCAACUCCUGUCCUUAUUUAGCACGCAUGAACCUCUCCUGCUCAGUGAGGGCAUGGCGGAAAUGACAGCGGUGACCAUAGGGGCAAUUGUCUCCAGCAAGGACCAUUCUGCAAACCUCAGUCUUGUAGCGUGGGUGACGAAUUACAGGUCGAAGUUCAUUGACGCCGUGAGCAAACUGACAGUGAUCCCCAUAAGGACAGGCUCCAGUCUGUUGCCAUUUGUUGCAGAGCUCUGUCUUGAACAUCCCUUGAUUGAACACAUCAAACUCCAGUGCUUCCUCCUCUUUGUUUCCUCCCGGGACAAAAACGCGUUGCUGUUCCAUUCCCAUACAUACAAACAGAAAUGUAACCAAUUAAUCUGAAGUAAUCACUAAAGUAAAGAAAUGCAGUUAAGAUCAUAUUAAAAACAAAAGCGACAAGAUCAUUCCAAUCCAACAUUCCUGUACAUUUCUUUGGUAACAAUGAUUUUAUAUUUCUGUGCUCAACAAAUGAGGCACUAGUUCUUAAUAGGUUAUGAAUCUCUAUUGGCAAACAAUAUGAAAUGUUGACAGUGAGAUGUUUAAACAUUUUCAAGCAUCAACCAUCUCAAAUUCGAUUAAUCUCCUCUCAUUGACAUAAUAACAUACACUCUUCACUAUACACAAUAAUUUGGAAAUUUUUGAAUUGCACUGUUACAUUGAUGAUAACAGGUCUAUGACAAAAUUACUCUACCAAAACUAGUCUGAAUGCGAAAUCAAGCUGUAAGUAUAACAGAAUCAAAACGAAGCAAUCUAGGUUCUGAUAAUGCAUUUACUACUGUAAACAGAAAAGGUUGAUCGAAUCCGUAAGAAUUACUGAAAUUGGGUAAAUCACCAAAAAGAACAGAGGUAGAACUGAAAUUAAAGGAAAUUCAUCAAAAGCUUACAGUUUCAUUAUCAACUGGACUCACAGAACGAGGUCGGUUGAUGCGAUUUGAAGCAGCGCUACUUCCACCAGGUUGAUUAGCCUUCAAGUAACCACUUGAACGAAUCGAAAUGCUCUUUGGCAAAGCAACUCGCUCAUCACCGCCGCUCUUCUUCUCAAACUGCUUGUUCUCAAUUACACUCGUAGGGCUGUUGUCAAUUACACUCGUAGGACUGUUGUCAGAAACAUCACCACUAGAAACAUCACCACUAGAAACGUGAUUGUUAAGUCCUCCUCCGUUACCGUUAUCUCCAACACACAAGUUACGGAAAUCGUUAAUAAUGGAUAAAGACGGAAAACCAGACGAAAGAUAACGAUUUCCAAGCGAAACUUGCGUUAAGAGUGUUAAACGCUUCGUCAGAUCUAAAUUCGCCGCUCGAAGCUUUACAUUCUGUUCACGAAGGUCUUCAGCUUCUUUGACCGCCUCUUGAAGAUGAGUAAGACAGAGUCCAUAACGAGCGACAAGUUCUUGAUAUUCUAAAGUUAAGCGAGCAAGAUAGAGACGGUUUUCAGUAGCAACAGCAGCACUAUUUUCUUCAAUACAUGAAGAUGAAGAUGGAGAUGGAGUGAAGGAAACCGAACUUCCAAAUGAUGAUGGUGAAGUAAACAGAGAUGAAUUGAACUUUUCAUUCGGUGUUGAAAACAAUUGUUUAUUAAAAGGAAUUGGAGAUAAGUUGUUCGCAUUAUUGCUUCCAUCACCGUAAGAAGAAGUGUGUCUCUGCAUUUAGCUGUUUGAGAAACAAAGAACAAUUAGAUAAUUUCAUCAAAUCGAUCGAUUUCCAGUGAAAUUCUAUAUAAUUACACCUAAAAUUACUUAAAACUCUGAAGAAAUCAAUUGAACUUGUUAGAUUUCCGAUUCAAUUGCUUCAUCACAGAAACUUAAGAACAUCUUACUAAUUCUUUCUAUGAAUCUGAUUUCCAAAUCAGAUAAACUCAAAAUCUUAACGAAAUCAGUUCAAUUCAUCAAUCGGUUUUAAGAACAGAGUAACAAAUGCUUGAAAUCUAACCUGAUUUUGCUGAGUUCCGUAACAAAUCUAGUUGAGAGAGAACGAAGAAGAAGAAGAAGAAGAAGAAGAAAGAGUAAUGAGAGAGAGAGAGAGAGAGAAGAGAGAGAGAGAUGAAAUUGAAAAUGGUUGUAAGAAAUGAAGAAAGAAAGAGCAAUGAGUUUAUAUAGAGCGAUACAUGUUACGCAUGAAGGGAACCAGCUCGGAUUUCUUCUGUUAAAAUUCCAGUAACAGAGUGCACGGUUGGCAGUUUUAGUCUUUUAGACAUAACAGUGCCAUAAAUGAAAAGGCAAGUUGAUCCUACGUGGCGUAACUAACUUACUAGAAUUUACAUUUAUAGCCUUAUUUUUAGUGUAUAUUACUACCUAUAGUAUAAGCUAUGAAAGUCUGAUUUGUAUAUGCUUUGUCAUUUCACUCUUUCAGCUUACGUAGUCACAUGGAUUUUACUCUGAUGAAGACAGUUAUGAGGUUGUGGACUGCUGAGAUUUCUCUCUACUGACAUUUUUGAACCAUAAAUGCCCACUAUUCCCUCUAUUUUAUUUUAUUUUGGUAAACUCCCUCUAUUUUUAUCUUUUUCAUAAUUCACUAUUCCCACUAUUGUUUUUUUUUUUUAUAAAGACUAUUCCCUCUAUUGAAAAUUUGAAAUUCCAUUGCCAAAUGCCAACUCAUGAUAUAUAUUGGUCAUGUAAAAUAUGUGAUUAUAUCAUCAUUUACUUGUACAAAAUGUUUUUGCAUUACUCUUAUUUUUGUGUAAUAGAACCUGUUCUAACAUCUAAAAGAUCAAUUUUCCACCAUCAAAGAAAAAACAUCAUAUCUAGCGCGUGUAUAUCUUUUUGGCAAAUAAUAAUAUUGCAAUUGAUCCAAAGGGUGUUUUUUUUCUCUAAUACAAUCUAAUUUAGUUUUCUGAUUCAGAUUAACAACACAUUUUUUGGCGGUCCCAAUCCAAGAUUACAUUCAUAGUACUAUACUAGAAACAGGAUGGGGGUAGGGUAUCAUAUAUAUUACUGUUAAAACUUUGGAAUAAGAUAUCUAACCAAGACAAGGGGCCAUGCCAUUGGAGUUGGUUGUUAAACAAAGAAAGAGAGAAAGGGAUGUGUGGCAUGCAAGAUUGUUGUUGCUACAAAGGCUUAUGAUUGAUGAUGAUUGCGUGGCUUGUAAGAUUGGAUGGUGGUGGUGGUGGUGAAUGGUGAUAAAGGAUCUGUUUGGUUGUCAUGAGGUGGUGGAUUAAGACAACCUCUUAAGCCAUGUUUUUGUAUAGUUGCUUCUUUAUCACAACUUUAACUAACACUUUAUAGUUCUUCUAUCAAAUCCUUUACAAAAUGUUUGGUGGAAUUAACUUAAAACCCACACCCUUAAACAUAAUCCACCAUAUUCUGCUUGGCAGUUUGUGAUAAAAAAAUUUGUAUAUUAGACUAUUAGAGCUGCCAAUAAGUCCAUUUCCAUGAGUUCAUUCAAAUCAAUCUUAUUGGAUCAAUUUUGGCUGAGUUUUCAGUAUUUAGUUGGGCUUAGAAUUUGAGGUUCUAUAAGGAUGGCAUGUUACACAGAAUACGAUCAUGUCCGACAAAGAAAUGGACUCAUAACACAACAUAAAUGAGCCCAAAUUAAAGCGGCCCAAUUGAAUUUUGGAAGUUGAGGGACUUCACACUCCUUUGAUUUGGGACAUGUCAGUAAUGCCUUCUAGAAACUUGAGAUUUGUUGUUUAUGAAGAGGAAGCUAAAACUUAUCCCAAAACUCCACUCUUAUCUUCUUGAUUGUUAACUGGGUGCAAUUAACCAGAUAUUAUUUUUUUUGCAAGAAAUUCUAAUUUCUAAACUUUUGUAGGGUGCAAAUAAAAAGAAGUAAUCCAUGCAUACUAGAACGUGGCAAGAGUAAUAGAAUUGAAUCUAUGUACCGUUGAAACUUUGGUGGGUGCAAAUAAACAAUGUAAAACCGUGGUCAGAAGAAAGCCCACAGGAAGAAAGAAAGAAUCAAACAAAAUGAGCACAUGUUUGGUGGGUGUUGUUAAAGUUUCAGAUUCCUCCGAUUGUGAUAUCUACCUGAAGUUAUUUGCGUUCAAACAAUCGGAGAUUAACUGCUUUCAAAAGUCCAACUGUCAUAUUCCUUUUUUCUGUCUUCUUUUCACAAAAGCUUUUAAGCUUUUUGCAAAUCAUUUGUCCUAUAUCAGGAUUCAAAGCUCAUUGUCUUUUACUGAUUUUGUAAAAUUUAGACUCUUAUCUUCUCCUACCUAAUUCUGGAAUGCCUUAUGACUAGGAUUUCAAUUUAUCUCAACAAAUAAGCUUAUGACUAGGAUAGUAAACUUCAAAUAAUAAAAAAAAAAGGGAAAAUACCAAGGAAAAGCCCUAGGCUUUUUAGAAGAUGUUUGGAAGAAAAUAAAUGUCUAAAUGUCUACAUAAGACUAUACAUUAUAUAAGUAUACUUUAAGUUAUUUAUAAUCAUGAAAAUAUAAGACCACACUUUGAUAUAGUUAUUGAUUUUAUUUAAUAAUGAUUAACUAAUUGCGUUUCAAUUUUUUUUCUCUAAUAAUUUUAAUUGAAAAACGACAAAAUUCUCGAGGGGGGCACUUCUAUUUUUUCCGUUAAAUUCAAUCGAAAAACGACAACAAUUCUCAAGAUCGCCCCCUUCACGUGUGGUCUGACAAGAACUUGACACGCGGAUUGAACUGAUUGAAUGUCGUUUAGUAUUUUCGAUUCAAAUCUAUGUAAACAAACAUUGGUGGAUGUAAUCUAAAUGAAAUUUUAUGGUCCUAGAAUCCAACCCUAGGUGCGAAUGUAUAACACAUUUGGCGUCUUCUCAAAAAUUAUUUAAGCUUGCUCUUUUUGAAUUUUUCUUUAUUAAAAUCACAUUAAUGUUCCAUCUUUACCAAAGAAAAAACAUUAAUAUGCCAUGUCAUUAAUCAACUCUGCCAUGUCAUUUGUGAUAUUUCCUAUUUUGAUCCGUGUCAUCCAUUGCAUUUGGCUAUUUACAUUUUACAGUGAGACACACUAUCUCUAGCUAGCUCUCUCUUUCUCUCCUGUUUGCUCUUUAUAAAUAGAGACAAAGCUUCUCUCACAAUACAUAUCUUCAUCAAAAGAAAAAAAAAAGCUUCUCAGUUCUCUCCCAUAUACAACCUCAUCACUAAACCAUCAUCAUCUUCAUAAACAAGGUCAGAGCUAUGAAUUUUGGCAGGUUUUUCAAGGACAAUGCCUCCUCUUCUUCUUCUUCUUCUUCUUCUCAGUUUCAUAGUUUCAUACAAGUUCCAAAUAAUAAUCGUCCUAACCAACAACCAGAGGUGAAGUAAUGCUUGCUUACAUAUAUAUUUUUAUCUGAUCUAUUGAAAUGUUUUAUAAGUUGUUCAUGGAUUUUAACUUUGAUUCUUAUAUGGGGGACAUCAAAAUGAAUCACAGGAAUCAAAUUUCUUGCAAGCUCGAGAAAAACUCCUACAGUGCUUUUGGACUGAAAGAAUUAUGGAAAUAAAUCAAAUAAAUGGUGAGCCAUAUGCGUACAACACAACCAUUUUGUUCUCUGAAUUGAUUUGGACUUUGGCUUCUCACUUUCUUUGUUCUUCCUUGGUGUGAUCUCAUAAAUUUUAACACUAGUUCUAAAACAUGCAGGCAUGAAUCCAGAUUUGAAGUGCUUUAGAUAUGAAAAAAAUGAUGGUUUUAAGCAAAAAGCAGUUUCUAACUUCUUAUCACCAACCCCACCGCCACACACAAAGAUACAAAACUCAUUUUUAUUUACUGAAAGGUGUUCAUGUGAUUUUUUUGUCUUAAUUAAGUACAAAAUUAUUUGGUAGUAUCUUAGAAGAUUCUAAAAUGAGGAAAAAAAAAGUUUAUAAAAAUUAACUACAAAUUAUUUUGUGCGUAGAUUUAUAAAAAUUCAAUGAUAGUAAUGAAUUUCUUAUAACAUAAGGGGUUUCAAUAAAUGAUAUGAUUCAAUUUAGAGACCGUGCGGAUCUCAUGAUUUGAUUUUGAAAUUUUAGAUUUGGAGAUUUCUUACAUAUUUCAGUAUUUCCCAUGCCUUUGUUGGUUGCAUAUAGCUAGGGUUGUUAAAUGAAAAAGAAUACUACUCGAUUUAUCUUUUGAUGUUAGGUUUUAAAAGUAACUAAUUACCAUAUCUACUUAGACCUAAUGUACCAUCAUAUCCGAGAGGCCUUCCAUUCUAGAUGGGAUUCAUUUCUGUUAGAGAAACUUUCAUUAAAGUAGUAUGAUCGAUCGCGACAAAUUUAAACUUUUAACUCGAAAAAGGCGAAACAAUCUCACAUUCAAACUAAAUUAAAGCCGGUCGCGACAAAUUUCAUCUUUUUACACAUAAAUGAUUUAAUUCUUUCUUUGAAAAGGGAUAAGACAUCUAUGUUAUGGUAGAAUUUAGUUUUGUUUGCAUGCUAUGUUUGCUUUUGAUCAAAAUGCUUCCUUUCAAAAAUACAAAAAGUUCCAAAAAUGGUUAAAUAAGGCCCAUUUGUACAAGGAUACAAAAAAGUUCUAUGGGCCUACUUACUCUCAUGGACCCAAUAAAUGGUUAAAUAAGGCCCAUUUGUAAGAAGAGAUCCAUGGGCAGGCAUGAUAGACAAUUCUCUUGAGCAAAUGUGUCACUGUAACAUGUUCAUCUUCAAUGUCGUUUCUAUCGUCAUUGUUGUUAUACAGUUGUAAUCUAUGUAGACCUCGAAGGUGCAAUAAAUUAAACUGGUGCAUAAAUCAUAAUAUGGUUAGUAUGUAAUUUUAUAAUUAUUUACUAAUUUACUUGCACAUUAGUAAUUGCAAAUGUCCAAUAUUAGAUCACAUAGAUUCUAGGUUAAUUCUAUAAUUUAUUUUAUUUACUAUAGUAUAUAAAUCAGCUUAUACUGUAGUUUCUAAUUCUUUAUUGAUUACCAUUUUUUUUUUUUUACCAUCAUUUAAAGUUACUAAUUAACUUCAUUUGAUUGUUUUCAGAUCUCAGGAAUCAUCAACUGCCCUUAGCUAGAAUCAAGAGACUAAUGAAAUCCAAUGAGGAUGUUAAGGUUUGGCAUAUAGUAAACUCAAAAUUAUUUACUUUGUUACUGUUUAACUUAUUGCACCACAUUCAUAGUUUUAUAGUUAAUUGAUGUUGAUAUUUAGCAUUAAAUUUAUAUUGUGACAGAUGAUCAGUUCCGAUGCCCCAGUUAUUUUUGCCAAAGCUUGUGAGAUUUUUGUUUUAGAGCUCUCACUUCGCACCUGGCUGCAUGCUGCAAGUAGUAGAAGGCAAACAUUGCGAAGGAGAGAUGUUUCCAGGGCUAUAGGCAAUUGUCAGACUUUUGAUUUUCUUCUUGAUAUUGUUCCAGAGUCACAUGAAGAGGUAUCUACAUGAUCAAAUAAUGUGUACAUUAGAUUUUGCUAAUAUAAAAAUCACAUCUAUGAAUAGAAGACCAGAACCUAUCUCUAACUUGAAUUGGUAUGUUACCUUAGGAUGAAGUUACUGGUGGAGGAAAUGAAGAGAAAGACGUAGAACCUUCACAAGAGCCUGAUGUGAAACCUUUUCCAGUGAUAGGACCAAAUCAAGUCCCGCAAAACUAUGCUGUGAGUAUGAGUAGGACAAUUUUUCUUACUGCUUUAUAAUUUACAUUACUUGCUGUGAUAUUUGGAACUUUGCAAUAAAUAACUAAAAUGCUUAACAUAGUAGCACAGCCUAAAGCUUAAGAUUGAUGAGAACAAUGUGUUUUACAGUGCCGAUAAAAUGCAUUAAAUCUUGAGCAUGGUCAUAAUGCUAAACCUAUAUGAUAAGGGACAAAUUCUAUAUAAACCUUUCUUCUGAGAUAGUGGUAGCAAAGUGUUGACAGAAAUUUGCAUCCUUCAUAGAUGAUAUAGAUAUUGAACAAUAACUUUCGUGCUUAUAAGUCCAAGAUCUUUGUUUUGUAAUAUGUUUUUAACAUUUUAGGAAGACGAAGUCACAGGACAAUGGAGGGGAGGAUGGCAGUCUAAUGGGAUGCAGUCUCAAUUGCUGGAUUUUAACCUUUCUAACAACUAUUUUUCCGUGAGUAAUAAAAUCACACCCUUUCUUGAUGAGCUAUAAUAUCGUAUCACUUAAUAACUAAGAUGCUCAGCACUAUGAUUAUGUUUUGUGCAAUAAAUAUGUCUUAUUUAUAGAUGCCAAUACAUCAUACAUAUAUCUCUUUUAUAUUUUGGCUACCAACUUGUUCAGUUAUUCCUAAGCACUGUGAAACAUUAAUCUCUAGUUGAUGCUUGCAAAGUUCUUGUAAGUAUGUCAUCGUGCAAACUGCAAAGCUGAUCCAGAAGCAAAUUCCUUAUCAAAGUCCAGUGUCUAACUUGGAAUGAUGGUCAUCAAUGUCAUAGGGUGAAAAUAUGACCUAUCAAAAUGAAGUAGCAGCACAACCCCAACAGUUUAUUGCUUUGCAUCUGCCAAUGGGUGCUAAUCUCUUUUGACCUCUGCAAGUUGUCAGUAAACAAACUAGCGCUCGACAGAACACCCCAGCUUUACACAAAGUACCGAUGUGUUUGAUUAUAACUUCAUGAGCUUGAGAAACUAAUCUAAUUAAAAGUCAAUAUGAUUUAAUAAUAACGAAUUCCCUGAUUAAAAGUGCGCAGUUUAGAUUUUUCUAACCUGGAUUGAAAUGACUGUCGUAGGGCGAGUACCACGGAGAGCGUAGACGAGGAGCUCUACCUCGAGGUUCGGAUGCCGUGCAAAUUUCUCUGACAGGCGCUAAUCAUUUGCGGCUGAACAGUGCUUAUAAUGCUGUGAGUAAUAAAUAAUGCAUCCUUGUUUUGAUAUUUGCAAGUUUUAGUAGUAAACUGGGCUCUCGGCAGUAGACUACAACGCUGCUUUGUGUAAUGCAAAGAUUUCUGGCCAUAAUAUCAAAGUCAUAUAAUUUUUAAUCAAUGUUUCUGAUUAUAUCUUUCUGAGCUUGAGAUACACUAAUUUAAGUUGUAUAUAUGAUUUAGCAACGAAUUUUCCUGAUUAAAAGUGUGCAAUUUCGACUUCUAGCCUAGAUUGAUAUGUAAAUGACUGUUGUAGGGGGAGUACCUCGUAGAGAGUAGAAGGGAAGCUCUACCUCGACCAUCUGAGGCGGUGGAAAUUCCUCUGACAGGAACGAAUCAUUUGCAUCUGAACGCUGUGAGUGAUAAAAAAAUGCAUCCUUGAGUUUUGAUAUUUGCAAGUUAUAGUUGGUAAACGGGGCUCUCGACACUACAGAAUUGUUUUAUGUAAUGCAAAGAUUUCUGACCAAAAUAUCUAAGUCAAUUGAUUUUAAUCUGUGUGUCUGAUUAUAUUUUUCUGAGCUUGAGACAUACUGAUCUAAGUCAUAUGAUUUAACAACAAAUUCCCCGAUCAAAACUGCGCAAUUUAGAUUUUUAACCUGGAUUGAUAUGUGUGACUGUUGUAGGGAGAGUACCUUGGAGAGAGUAGACGGAGAGCUCUACCUCGGCCCUCUGAUGCAGUGGAGAUUUCUCUGACGGGCGGGACUCAUUUGCAGCUAAACAGCUAUAAUGCUGUGAGUAAUUACGCAUCCUUGUCUUGAUAUUUGCAAGUCUAGUUAGUUAUCUGGUUUCUCAACACUACAGCCCUGCUUUGUGUAAUGCCAAGAUUUCGAGCCAAAAUAUCAAAGUCAAUACAAUUGAUCAAACGUGUCUUGUUAGGCGUUAAUAGGUCUUGAAACAAAACAUUUGUUGAAACUUUAUAUCAUCUUUGGUUACAAAGUUCUGACUGAAGUAUGCCUUGGGAUUUCGAUGAACUUUGUACUCAGAAGUUUAAUGUUUAAGGUCCAACAUUAACAACAAGCUACCUGUAUAUGGAGGAAACAUUAUCUAAAUAUAAGGACCUUGUACACUGGAGAUUGGUCCAACAUUAGCAACAAGCAAUGAAAAACAAGAACUUUGUUUAAACAUUCCAUCAUGUCUUUUGGUUACAAAGCUUUUAUUGAAAUUGCCAUUAGAUUUAAGUAGUUUGGAUGAUUUUUAUGGUCAGAAGUACAUUUUAAUAUAAGGAUUCUUAUUUGGUCUGUUAUUAAGCAGGUACCACAUGAUGAAGAACUGAACGAGCUUACCAUAUAUGGAGGAAACAGGUUCGGACCAGAAUCUUCAUCGUCUAGCGAGCUGUUUUUCCCUACACUUGGGGACAAUCGCUUGAACCAUGACUAUAUGUAAUGAUGUGAGUAGUUAAAUUUAUGUUGUUCGUUUGUCGUAUGGGUUAGAUGGUGCUUUAGCACAAUAUAUUAAGAGGCAAAGUUUUGGCAUUUAGAUAAGUUAGAGGUUGCAAUAGUUUCAAUUUCAAAUUUUCAUUUAACAAAAUUCUGUAAGGUCAUGAAUGCAUUUGGAAAUUUGACACACUUAAUCCUACUUCUGAUUUUUGCAGUGAGGAGAUCAUGCCCGAAUACAGAAACGCUAAUGUGUCAUAUGAUAUGACGGUGAAGCCGUACGUAUAUGAGGGCUGCUAGUACACACGUAAAUAUAAAUAAAUAGAGUAUCUAUCUCCCUCUCAGUUUCCUGGAACUUCAUUAAGGGUUUUGAAACUUAUUAUGGUGAGGCUUUUAAUAUGUGUCUUGUGGUAUUGUAAUUUGACUAUCAGUAUGUGUGUUUUGUCACUUCAUGCUAUUGUAAUAUGACUAUCAGUAAUAAGUUUUACAAUGUUUAUGGUUUGAUGUUUGUUCUCAAUAGCUUGCUUAGAAUAUAAGCCUGUAUCCUGUAUCGAUGCCAUAUUGCUAUAUACCCAUCCCACAACUCAGCCAUCUUGCAAGGCCAUAAUUAGUUUUUCUAUCCACUCCUCGAACCCAAACUUGUCGAAGAAGCCUAGUAGAACAUUGUCCAUAUCUGCAACCAUCUGGUGAACUAUGUCAAUUGCACCUUAAGUUUGUUGUUUAAUUCCACUGAAAGCCUGAAACCUUUCAGUCUGACAGCCUGAGGGCAAUUGUGUCAGUUGAAGUUGUGUGGGAAUACAACGUCACUAUAACGCUGUAAUCACGUCAUAAGCAUGAACCAGAGUCACACUCUUGAUGUGCCAUAGUCUUCCUCGAAGGAAGAAAGAAAGUCCCAUAAAUAGUCAAUAAUUAGGCAAAAGAGAAAGUGCACUUCACAUUCACCUUUGUUUUUUCAAUUCUCGUGGGAAUUCCACCAACAACAAAGUAGACUAGUAGAGCAUUUUGGUCUACUUCUUGUCGAGAAAUCAGGCUACACAAAGCGGCGCGUGAGCAUCCUUUUCCUUCUGCACAAUCAACGGGAGGAACGUAGCAGAUCAUCCAUAUCCAUCUAUAUAUUUUGCAUGGAAUUUCUUAAAGGUUGAUUCACUACAACAUUACCUCAAAACUACUACAGUACUUGUAUAUCUUUGAGGACUUUACGCCAUUUUACUAAGAAAUUACAUGUUGUGAUCAACUUCAUUUCUACAACUUUUACCUUACAAACAAAAAUGUGUCUAUGUGGCUAUGUAAUCUGCAGUGUGCAAAGUGCACGCCUCUUCGUUUGGAUCUGUGAAUUUGUGAGUGGUAGCCCUGUGCACACUUUUAGAAGGGAAAAAAGAAAAGAAAAAAGUGUCACAGUGAAAGUUUAAUAAUCCAAUAAAGUGCUCAUUCGGUGAUCUUUUGGCAUAAUUUUAUAAUUGAUUAUCCAUUAGGGUGUCGAUUGAGAAGAGAAACAAAUGAUGGAAAUUAAAUCAAAUCAAUUGACAUGAUCAACUUGAUUACUAAUAAACCUAAUGGGAGGAUGGUCUAUCAUCAAUACCAUGAUUAGCCAAUCAUAUAUAUAUAUAGUAUGAUGAUGACUAAAUAUAUGCAUGAACAAAUUAAGGUAGAGAAAUAUAUACAUGAUUACUAUAGGUUAUGUAUGUGUUGUUGAUUGUGUUCAUCAGGAAGACAAUACAUCUAAAUUUCAAGUCUAAACAAACUGUCCAUGCAUCUAGUGGAUGCUUGUGUCACGAAGACAUUGUAAUAGAAGCAAAGUUUGUCAACUAUGGAUCCACACAUGAAACCAUAUAUAUCAUGCAUGGUGAUUGAUUGAGACAACCUACCAAAGUUUUUGUAACGAUAGCAGAAGGAAGAGAAUCUUGUUUGACUUCUGUUUUCUCCCUUUUCCUUUUCAUGCCAUUAGCAAUUAGCAUAUCUAUGUUAAUUAUGCACAAUAUGAUUUUAUCUUUUCAUUUUUGUUGUUUAGCUUCACCUUCUAGUGUCCAAUUUAGAAGUCUGGGUACCAUGUCAAAUAUUUGCUUAUCCAAAUUCUUAACCAUACAGAAUCAUGUUGUAGCUAGCAUUUUUCAAAUACAGUAUAGGUACGUUAAUUUUUCUCAGGUUACAAUUCAACUGUAAAUGAAAAAAUUCCUACAUGAUGAACACACAUGAUGUCAUGAUCUGGUAUUACUAAGCAAGUGAUGUGCAUGUGAUGUAGAAUGUAGUGGCACUGGAUUAAUGAGGUAAUUAACCAAAAUUGAGCAUAACAAGAGGACAGAAGCUAAAUUAUUGCCUCCUUAUUUCCUUGGUCUUCAUUCAACAAUGAGAAGGGAAGGAAUUUGAAAACUUCCAAGAGCAUUGGAAACCGAGUGAGUGGAAUGUAUUGCAUUUCCCACAAACAUUACCCUUGUGAACAAAACCCAAUGAAUCAAUAAAAAAGUGAUAAAAGAGAAAAUCCCACUCAUGAGUCAUGACAAACAAAGCUACAAGUUUGCCUUUAAAUACACCCCACCAUGUCUCCUCUCUUCCAUUCUAUUAGUAACUUGUUUUCUUUACUCUUGUUCAUCUCACUCUCAGCUUAUUCUUUUAAGUUCACCAUGAAUUCAAGUCAGGAACAAGAACUUGUUGAUUCAGGUGGAAGGUACAAAGGAAUUCGUUGCUGUGAAUGGCACAUUUGUAAUAAAUGUGACGUCUGAGGUUUAAACAACCAAAACAAACUAGGCUUUGCAAUUGUGCUCUCUUGUGUUUCUUGCUCAUCUUAUGGCAGAACCAGGAUAGCCAAGUUGCAUUGCGGGGAAUUGAGGGUACACGGUCCGAUUUUAGCUUAUAGUUUUAAAUUUCUUAUUUUUACCCCUUUCUAUAGGUAUUAUGUUUAAUGUGAACAUGUGAUGUAAGAGACGCAUUCAGGGUAGCUCAAGUGAUUUUGAGGCUGGUAGCUCAUCAUAUAUAGUAACAAUAGUUCGGAUUUGUAAUGCUUGCUGCUGGAAUGCAUCACUUACACUUGUCAUGUAAACUUUAUUAUCUUGAAUGAAAUAUAUAUAAAUCAUCUUUUAUGGAUUAAUAAUUAUGCAAAUGUAAAAAAUUUAUCCUUUUAAUUAAGCACCAAGCUUGGAGGAGUGUGGAUUCUGUUAGUUCCAUUGGUUAGUAGCUAGCCAAUAUACCUAGUAGUUAAGAAGAACUUAAGACUAAUGUAUAGUUUUAGCUCUAUGCCUCUACACAUUAAUGUACCAAAUAGAAACUACACUCCUACAUACUGCAAAUUUUCUUUUAAACCAAAAUGUCAGUGUAGAUUGGUAGCUAGGUAUCACCCUAAAAGUAUUGACAAAGUAAGUCGCUUUAUACAAUGUGAUCUGAAACAAAUGGUCAUAUGCAAAUGACUUUACAAACACAUGGAUCAUGGAUGUGACUUUAUACAGUGGUGAAAAAGAAUGUGGGGUUGUGUUCACACUUCACAAUGGGUUAUGAUCAGUCUUCUAGCAUUGCAUCCAGUUGAUAUUUGCAUAAUAUAUUUUUUUACCAGAAAGAACGAACAGCAUGAAGAAAUGUUUUUACAUUAAAAUUUGGAACAUGGAACACCAAGUGCAAGCAAUCUGUUGUUAAGUCUUGAAUCAUAAGACCGAUUGCAUUUUGGGGUUGGCACAUAAAACUCUUCAGCCCAAUGUAAUGGGCCUUAAACUACACUGUUAUUAUGACAGGCUAACAUGUGGGUGUUGGACAGUCCAUUGUAACUUGGUAUUGUAUACAUGGGCUUCUGAUGAUACACUGGUAUGUUGGGAUUGCAACCUUAGCCAGUAGUACUAUACAGUAGUUUGUGGCAUAUAGUGCAACACUUUCCAAGAGACUUAGCAUCAGUACAUUAUGGGUUGUUGAUCGCUAGUACAAGUUCAAACUGCCUUCCUUGUACUUUUCAUCUGUGGUACUGUGCUACUUAUUUGUACCUAGAAGUCCUUUUCCACUGCACAGUCCAGUACGUCCAGUUGUGAAAAUGAAAUAAGUUAGGUAUGUUGAUAACUUGAUAUUGCAUGAAAAUAUUGUGUGCCAAGAAACAAAUUUGGUGAUGAAACAUAUUAGACUGUCUCCAACGGGUUGCUAUUUUCUCAAAAAGUUGCCAAUUUAGUCUCCAACCGGUUGUUAUUUUGUUAUAUUUUUUUUAUUUUUUUGUUAUUUUCUUAAAUCCGUUUUCAAAUUUGAAAAAACUUUCGAGAAAAUGAAGAUAUAGCAAUAUUGAUAUAAUAUGCAUUAACUACCGUUUUCCAAUGAUUACAAAGGCGGAUGAGUAUCAUCAGCCUUCAUGAGUUAGUGGCGGAUGAGAAAUUGGUCACCAGCCUUUUGGUAGUGAAAGAGAAUGGUUGGUGACAAUUUUAACUUUAUACAAUCUCUUUUAUACCCUUUCACUUAUAUUCAUAUAUAUAAAACAAUAAUAUAUGUCUAAGAGGGUAUUUUUGGAAAUGAUUUGCAUACGCGGUUUUCAAUUAAUAUGCAAUGAAUAUUAAAAUUUUGUCUUGUACAUAUUUCUUAUCCGCCAUUUAAGUACGAAGGCUGGUGAGCUAAAUAUAACAAAACCGGUUGGAGUUGAUUUUGGAAUUUUUUUAUAAUUAUAGAAAUAGAAAUAACAAAAUAGCAAAAAAGAACUGUAGGGGUUGGAGAUGGUCUUAUGCUGUUCUUCUUCUUUUUUUGUCUCUUUUGGAUAAAGAUAUCUAUUAUGUUAAAUCUCACUAAAUUAUAUUUUGAACUUUGCAAUUGCCACAAUGCCACACAUGUUUGGACUCUAGUAAUGAGGAAAUGCCAAAUUUGUUGUAGGGGUGGGCAAAACCGAUCCGAAACAUGUAAACCGAACCGAACCGAACCGAUCCGAACCGAAAAUAGGGUGUUUACAUGUUUCCAUGUUCGGUUGCAGUUUCUAAUUUGGCAAAACACCUGCUUUGGGUGUUCGGUUGCAGUUUCGAAAAUUUUCGAACACCCAAAACCGAACCGAACAUGUAUUUUGUAUACAACCCACUACAGCCCAUCUCUCCAUAGUCCAACCCAUCCCAUCUGUCCAGGAGUCCAGCCCAAUAUCCAAGUAUCCAACAGUGAACAGACCACUACAUCCCAUUUCAGAUUUUCAGAUUUUUCAAAUAUAUCAGUUUUUCGGUUCGGUUCGGUUUUAUUCGGUUAACCGAACUUAAUUAUAUGUUCGGUUCGGUUUCGGUUUUAGUUAAAAGUAUUCGGUUCGGUUCGGUUUUAAAAAUAAAAAAGUUCGGUUUCGGUUUAGACUUUUGCAAAACACCUGCUAGGUGUUCGGUUGACAGUUUUGUCCAAAACCGAACCGAACCGAACCGUGCCCACCCCUAAUUUGUUGAUAAGAUAUAAUAUGCUCAAUGUAUGAAUGCAGACAAAUCAAGAAGAAUAUUAUGAUGCACACCACAAUGAUAACAUGCAUAUAUAAGAAAAAGAAGUAAAGAACACAUGAUUUGUGUGAGGAACAGAAGACCAGAGAAAAGCUGUGAGUAACCUUACUCAAAACAACUAAGUGAAACUCAUAAUACAGGUUGUCUUUUCUUCUCAGAAAAUAAAAUUCUUGUUAAUAUGGUCUUGGAGCUGCCUAAAACACAACAUAGAUAUGAUCAUUAUGCAAACUUGAGAACAGAAGGUGUGUACCUCUGGAAGAAGAAUUUUAAACAUCUUUGAGUCUACAAGAUGAGAAAAAGAUAUACUGUAUAUAUAUACAUAGCUCUCAAGUCCACAAGAGGAAGAAGACGUGAAAAUUUAUAUUGUUGCACAAAAAGCAUGAUGUAUUCUUUGUCUCAAAAGUAAGCACUCAACAAAAAGCAUGUAUUCUCAAAAGUUUUCGAAUUUAUUUCUUUGUACAUAGAUAAAGAUCCAUGUUCUUCGAUCAAAUUUGCAACAAAAAAUGAAGUAUAAUUUCUCAACUAAAGGAAACUACAUAUGCCUGAAAUCACAACUAGUAAGCACUGCAAAGUUUGCUGGCUAACAUAGAGUAGUCUGGAGAGAAAUGUAAGUUUUGUUGAUACAGACAAUUUCCCACAUUAUUCUUAGAACAUGUACAAGGACUAAUCGGGGCAGUAAUCUUGUAACAUUUAUUCUCGAUCACUUCCAAUCAGAACUCACAAGUCACACCUGCUAUUUCAUAUAUAGUGCCCCAAAGGGGUCAAGCUUUUGUUGAGGCAAAAAUACAUGCACCAUGCAAGAUAGAGUUCAAUUGGAGACUUGCAGCAAUCUUUCCCUUACAAUGUACGCCCACGAGCACUGGCAGCUUUUGUUAGCUUCCAGAACCAUUUGAUCAAAGUGUUGUGGGCACAGUUGUUGUUUGGGCUCUGCAUGACCACUAGCUUCUGAAGACAAGGGUAGUAAUAUGAGUUUCCGUAGCGCUUUUACCUUUUGUGUCUCCAUAUCAUAUAUGUACCUGUACUUCAGUGUGUGAUGGACUGGUGCUGGUACCUACUGCCAUGAAGAAGGGAAGCAUUUGUAGAAGAUUUUUUUUUGGGGGGGGGGGGGGGGGGGGGGGGGGGGCCCAUUUUUAAAAAAAAUUUUCUUUUUUAUAUUUUUUUUGGGGGGGGAGUUUGAAAAAAACAGAAAGACAUAUGUAAUCCUUUCACACACUUUAGUUCACUCCCUAAUGCAUCUAGACAUAAAAAAUGAAAGAUACCUAUCCAGGCCACAUGAAAUGUAAAACCAAAUAGGAGAAAUUCUUGGCAUAUCAGAUCUCUUUUGAUACAAAAUAUUCUUCCCUACUACUUGUGAGAUUGGACUUGUUUUGGCAUAGAUGCCGCAAGUUCCAGACCUCCUGACCCCUCUAUGCCAAAACAAGUCCAAUCUCACUUGUUAAUCCAUCUGAGCUAUUGAAUGGUCUGAAUCACAAUGACUAUCCGUCAUUAAUCACUGAUUUAAAUACCUGCUGAAGUUAGUCCCUCGUUAUAUCAGUCUCAUGAUCAAACAUAUAAACAACAAGACAAGGUAGAAUAGGAUCUUAAGUUCACAAGCUUUAGUUUUCUUAAGCAUUUAAACUUUUCUAUAUAUUAGAACAAUUACAAAAGAAGAUCAUACUGAAACCCCAUAAUGAUAAUGACUGCAUAAGUAAUUUUUCUAUAUUGAAAAGAUAAUUAAGAAAAAAUCAACUCGAUCUGAAAAAAGUCACAAAUUACUUCUCACGCAAAGGGAAUUCACCUUUUAGUAAACUACAAUGUGAUCCAAUAACUCAUUACUCAGUUCAUGCUCUCCAUUUUUCCUAAACUGAUUAUAGAAAUUAGAUGAUACUGUGUAUGUUGAGGGUUUUCAAAGAGCAAGAUGUAGGUAGCCCAGAGACGAUAUUUAUAACACUGUGAGAACAGAAUUGUAUGAUUGUAUGUCAUGUAAUUAACAUGAUCCAUCUGUCCGGCCAGCCAACAAAACAUUCAGUAGUUGCUCACUAAAGAAACUAACUAGGUCUAUUUCCCUUAAUUUUGAAGAGGGCAAAGCACAAGCGAAAACGAGGUUCUGCAACGGCCCCAAAAGAUAUAUUUGUUCAAAAAAAGGGUCAUAUCUUGUAAUCAUAUUACAUAACCUGCAGAAACGUUUUCGGCUUCAUAAAAAGUUUAUGUAUAACAAGGAUCUAAGGACUUGUUUAAGACCUAUUUGGAGUACUAAUUAUCUGCUUCUGGACAAAAUUUGAAAUUUAAGCUAUUACUUCUUUCUGGAACAGCACAUAAGUAAAUCAGGGUAAUGUUUCUUCCUCACAUUACUGAAAAUCGAUAAUAAACGAAUAGGAAUGCCAAACACAUGAACAAACUUUGUAAGCAGCACAUACUAAUUCAAUGAUUCACUGUAGUAGCUUACCAACUACACUACAUAUAUGACUUAAUGACUACAAUUGAAUUAGUAAACAAAAUACCUUUUUGUAAUGGAAGUUCACUUUCCUUCUCACCCAUUCUUGACCACAAACCUGCAAAUCAAUGAACAGAUACACUCAUACACCAUGUGAAGCAAGAUCUAUAGUUAAACCAAACUAUUGAAACAAACUGUUUUAUUAGUCUAGCUAUAACUCCCAAAAAUCCGAUCGACCACACAAAAGAAAGGGGAGCUCGAGGGGGGAAAUUAAUAAAUAAAGAUAACCUAAAUUAAAGUAUCAUAAUCAAAUUGAACAUGUAAAUAAGCUAGAUUUCUAGCAUGAAUAUAAUAAUUAAGUUUCAAAGCUGAAAGGGUGAGGGGCUGAAGAUGAUGACAGAAGCAUAGAGAGCACAAAGGAGUGAGAUGCAGACUCUCCAUGCAUAUCAUCAUCUGUGCUCUCUAUCUUCUGUCAACAACAUCACCAGUGCCCCCUCUUACUAGCUAAAGACUUAGCUUUUUUUUCCUAUUGUAGAUAAGAAAAGAAAAGCAGAAACAUGGGGAUGAUUUUAAUAAGAGAGGGUAGCUAGACUGAUAGAUGGUUUUGGCCAGAUUGGUUUUAUUUACUAUAGAACUAGCUCCUUGAACAUCCCUAUUUAUAGAAAGGAUUUAGAGAAUAAAGGGUACUAGUAGCUAUAUACAACAGUGCCUGUCGCAUGUAUUACUUACUACUUGUAAGUUGUAACUGUUCAUCUCACGAGUUAAAGCCUUCAAAAUAGUACAGUCCUUGAUCUUGUAAGUUGUAACAAACUACUGUUAAUUAACAAAUUUACUUUCCAUCAAAUAACAAUUUCAAAACCCUAAACCCUAGCUUUUGAAAUCACAGAAAAAAUAGUCUAGAUGGACUCAAAAAACGGGUGUUGGUGUAUAUUUGGUUCAAAUAUAAGAUCUAACCAUUUAUAAUGAAAUGAGAAAUGACCCUAUCGAGCUCAAAUUAUAUAUUAAAAAAGGGUCAAAUUUAAUUAGCUAAUAUGUUCCAAAAUCAAAAUUGAAUACAGUAAAACCUCUCUAUACUCAUACUCUUGGGAUCAAAAUAAAUUAUUACUAUAGAGAGGUUAUAACUUAAUAGAGUUUUACUUAAGAAAAUUAUCGUAUAAUUUCAAUAAUGGUAUAGUUUCAAAACAAUAAUAUAGCUUCAAGAUAUAGUGCACAUAUACUAACUUAGUGAUGGAAGUGUUAGAAAAUAAAAAAACAUAUAAAAUGUCUCAAAUUUUAUAUUUUCUUUAAUAUUUUUCUCAAUAUGUAAUAUAUUUUUGAAGUAAUUAGCGUUACCCCCUGGAAUUCAAGGCAACCUAGUGAUACCCCCCUCCCCCAACUCCAAAAAGAUUUGUGUAACCCCCCAAAAUUAUUUUUCGAUGAAAAAUAGACUUGAAUUGCCAUAAAUACUCUUAUGUCACAUCAACAGUGGUUUAUGUCAAAUUAAAAGUCUGAUGUGGCAUAAGGGUAUUUAUGGCAGUUCAAAUCUAUUUUUCACCGUAAAGUAAUUUUUUUUUUUGGGGGGGGGGGUAUCGCUAUGUUGCCUUGAUUUCAUUUCAUGUGAUGAAAGACCUUGUACUUUUUAUCGAAAAUAUAUUUUGCCUAAAACUAUAAUUUCUCGUGAUAUGCUGAAUUAUAAGCCAAGGAGAUUUAUCAUGAUAUGUUGAAAAAUGGGAAGAAUAGGUUCACAUACUGUUGGUUCCAAAAGAUAGAGUUUUGGCGUCAGGGCUUAGGCCAUCCAUAUGCCACUUGCCAAGAAGCAUGGAGAAGAUUAGAAAAGAAGAUGAGUUCAAAUCAACCCCCAACACGUACACAUCUCUUAUCUUAUUGCUCAUCUGUCGAUUACUGAUAGGGUAAUCAAUGGGGGUAGCUGUUCAAAAGAUCCUUUUGCACGUGUCACCACCCUAUCGUACUGCAUCCUCAUUGUCAAGUAGGCUCUACUACUGGCAAUUCAAUUAUAUCCCAUCUAUUCCAUAUCCCCACCCUCACUCCCACUUGAUGAUAGAUAUGAUGCCCAGGCCAUGUUCUGAUGGGGAUCUAAAACUGUAUUCAUUUCAAAUGUAAUCAAUCAAUAAAUACAUUCAAAAGACAAAUAAUUAAGAUCUGUACAUAUAUAUAUAGCUUCAAUUCUUCUAUGGUGUGCUGCUCUACUGAAUGCUGGAAUAAUUUCCAUAAUUAAGGAAGGAGCUGAUAAUAUACAUAAACACUAGUUGCAUUGCAAGCUACUUGAUAUACUAGAAAUAAUGGCUAUAGUGCUAUACCAAGAAAUGAAUCAUCUACAUUGUUGGACAACAUAUGUACUGAAGUAGGACACAUUUGGAUAUAUUGUUGGACCCAAUUGGUGCAGUAUCACUACAGUUUGACGGAGCUGUUCUCUUCUUCCUACGACUUUGUUGGUCAGUUUCUUAAUUGACCCUAGUGGUCAACGAUCCUUGUGAUCCAACAACGGGUGUGGGUGCCUAGCCUCCAGGCAUAGGACUGGUUCCAGCACCCAAGAGAGAGAGAAAUAAAAAAAAGUAAGAUAGAUACAAAGUUAACCUUUGACGAUCCUUGUGAUCCAACAACGGGUGUGGGUGCCUAGCCUCCAGGCAUAGGACUGGUUCCAGCACCCAAGAGAGAGAGAAAUAAAAAAAGUAAGAUAGAUACAAAGUUAACCUUUGAGUGUUGUGGUGCGCGAAAGCUGGCCCAGACAUUCGGUUAGGGAUGUAAUAGGAAUACAAUGUUAGCCAUUGGAGUGUCGAGGUGCGCGAAAGCUGGCCCGGACAUUCGGUUAGCCUCUUGUAAUAGAUAGCCUAAUUGGCAAUUCUAUGAAUAGAAUUAGCACUUCUGAUAAAAAAAAAAGUAGGACACAUGCAACGUGAACAGUAUACAGUAUAUGCAGGUUUUAUUCAGAUACAAAUACAAUGGCAUAUGCAACGUGCACUGCUCAAUAAAAAGGAGUUGCUUCUAAGCAAUGUAUAAUUUUACUAUCUGACAUGUUUUGGCGCCUGGUAUGCGCCCGCAAUAAUUGGGGCCCACAUGGAGGGUCUAUUCCGUUUUCGGACCAAAGACUUUUGUUCAGAUGCCACGCUUUCCAAAAUGGGAUAUAGGAGAGAGAAACAAAGCGAGAUUCUCUCUUGACUUACCUCCUUUCGCAAUGCUCCCCAGACAUGUGUGCUCCUGCUAUUGCAGGUGGUCUACAGUCCACUACUCCACUGUUUAGGCCACAUAGAGGACUCUUCAAUCUUCCCUCUCAAUCAUGUUGGUAUGAUCAGCUUUUGAAAUCGAUUAGUAUUAUUAUAAAGAUAAAGACAUCUUAUCUUUUGAUUGGUUGUCUUUGGCCUUUGGGUACUACUUUUGGACUUGUUUUCAUUAUCUUCUAAACUGGCUUUUAAUUGGAUACAUACAACACUAUGGCAGUGCAGUAGUCACCUCAUCAUCAAUUAAAAAUGGCCUGGCGACUGUCCUUUCCAGCUGACUGGAACUUUACUACAGUACUAUGUAGCUGUACGCGCUUCGCGCAUAACUUUAUGUUGGAGCAUGAUUUUUAGUCAUAUAAAAAUAUUAUGGUAUUUUCUUUGGGUAAUUUAAUAAUUUAGAUGUGUAGAAAAAAAAAAAAAAAAAAAAAAAAAACCAUUUACAAUACAAAUUGCAAGUACAGUAGUAGGCUGAGAGAAGAUGGAAGAAAGACGUUCACAUCAUAAGAUGUUGGGCUCAAAUCUGGGUUUUCGGGGAAAACAGAUGUUGGGCAUAAAUCUGGGUUUUUAGGAAAAACAGAAAGAGAAGCCCAUUUAUAAUGUUGGGCGUUUUUGGGGAAAACAGAUUAUGGGCUUAAAUUUGGGCUUUUGGAGAGAUAGGAAUAGAGGCCCAUAAAUAAGACACGUGGCGGAAAUUUUGUGUUUGGUUACUGAAGGACGCUGAUGACGUAAUUUAACUGUUCACAUGCCUCCUCUCCUUAAGGUAGUAAAGAUGUGAAUGUGUAGUUAGACCAUCUUCAGCGGGUUGCUAUUUUCUCGUAAAUUUGGUAUUCAACACAAUUGCUAUUUUUUUAAUUUUUUUGUUUAAUUAUUUUUUCAAAUUUAUUUUUAAAUUUGAGAAAAUUUUUGAGAAUAGCAAUAUUCAUAUUAUAUACAUAAGCAAUGAUUAGAAGGGCGGAUGAGAAGCGACCACCAUGUAAUAGAGGAGGUGGAUGACUAAAAAAUACCACCAGCCAUUUUUAUGUGGUUUUAAUUAUGAAGGCUGGUGAUUGAGUAGUUUAAAAAAAAAUAGUUUUUGCCCGCCUUUGUAAAGUGAAGGCUGGUGGGUGAAAAUUAAGGAAACGGGUUGGACUUGGUCUUUGGAUAUUUCUAUAUAAUUAUAGAAAUAAAAAUAGAGAAAUAGAAAAAAGAGAUUUUUGGACAUACCCCCAAUUUGAAAAAAAAAUUGAGAUACCCCCCAAUUCAAGAUGUGGUGUUAUCUUAGCCGUCCAUCAUAAAAGUCACCUACGGCUAUAAAGCUCUUCUGUCUUGAAAUGGGGGUAUCUCAAUUUUUUUUUUCAAAUGGGGUAUCUCAAAUUUCAACUUUCAAAUACGGGGUAUGUCCAAAAAUCUCUAGAAAAAUUACUACUGUAGCGGUUGGAGAUGGUCUUAGAAUGUUAUAUAAGAAAAGUGGGGUGGGUUCAGGGGGUAGAAUUAAAAGUGAUAGGGUUAAAAUACUGGAGGGUUGGACUCCAUAAUUUUUAUUUAUUUAUUUAGAAUAAAUAAAUCAUAAUUAAAAAUCCAGAGUCGAACCAAAACUGCUUAAGUAGCAAUUUAUAAUUAGAUCUAACUUGGGUUUUAUUAUAGCUAACUACAGACCACUUUACAAUUAGUAAAAGUUGACGUAUAAUCAUACCCCCAAACAGUUAGUAUCGCAGAGAGUAGGACCGAAUGUUGCGUUGUUCUUGCAGAGUAUGUAACGUGUUGAGAUUACAGCCAUGCAAGCACCACCUGUUGUUGGACAUAUAAGAAUCAUGAACACCCUACUUGGCUACUUUAGCCGCCCCAGUUAAUUGAUUGUACGUUUGAUGCACAUCCCACACUUCACAACAGUUUCAACAAUUGUUUAGUGCCAUUUUGUUAACUAUAUUUCAAUACACAACCAUUGGACCCCCAGAUAGUGAGAGAGAUAUUGCAGCUAAGCUACUUUGUACUUCAUAACCAACAUUCUUCUCAGUUUCCAGCAAGCUAGGGAAUGGAGAAGAGUUUUUUUUCUUUUUCCAAAAGAUGGUAUUUCUAUUUUUAUUAAGAUGAAAAAGAUGUAUUACUGCAGAUACUUGACAUAACUUCUUUAUAAAAAAACAGAAGGCUUGCAACGCAGUUUGUAGUGUGUUUGUCCUCUAAUUUUGUGUAAUUCUUUUUUUAUUAAUAAAAAUUAUUUUUGAUUAAAAAAAAUAAAAAAUACUUGACAUAACAUUACUGCUGCUUUAUAUAUUACUAGUGACAGUUUCAAAACCCACGAGGCUAUAACAUAGAGAUACUAUCCAAUAAUACCAAUAUCCAUAUAAGUACCCAAGACGGGAGUCAGGUUGCAAAAACCAUAUUCAAAACAGGCUACAAAGAAGGUUGCAAAAAGCAUAUUCAAAACUAACCGGGCUAGUUUUGGACCCUUGAAUUUCGUACUCGAAUCUGAUUAUAGCAUGGCCCAUGUUCGAAACAGGCUACAGAGAAAAUGGUAUUCAUACUCUAAAUCCAAACUAAUGUGAGCCCAAAAGUUUGAGCCCCUAAUGGAUCUCCGCGUUAAUUCAAUACCGCAAAGCCCACUUAAAGUAGAUGGGAAUCGGGGAUGGUUGGCCUCAAGCCCUCAACCCCUAAUACAGUAUUUCUUUGAGAAUAAAUCAGAAAAUAUUUUCUUCAUGGAUUAUCGCUUCAUUAGUAGUCUUCACUUACAUUACAACCACAUAUAUUUUGCAGACAAUGCAACACUUUAUGCCUAAGUUUUCUCAACACACUAUUGUUUUGUUGUUGCGUGGUUCAUUGUCUAAUGAAGAAGCUAGCAUCACAUAAAUGCAAAUGUGUUUCUGGUUCUAUCCCAAAACCGUACGUGUUGGAAACAUAUUGUUACGGAAAAAAGAAAAAUGUCAAGCAGCACUGCAGCUCCUUGAUGACUGUUAGAUCCAUUUCAGUUAACAAUGAGUGUUGCACAGUGCAGGCAUAUAUGCAGCUGUUGUUAGAAAAUGUUGGGAUUUUUAGAUUUAAUCCCCCUUUUUAUGGUCACGUUUAGAGUAAACCCCCCCAUUUGUCCAAGUUUGGAUUUUACCCCCUCUCCAAUUGUUUCUGUCAAAUUUAAUGUUAAUUUUGUUUGUAACUUUCCAAAAUGCCCUCAAUUGCUGUUUUAGACUUAACCCCCUACAAAAAUGAGAGAGAGGUAUUUUAGAAAAAAAAAAUAAAAAUAGACGUUAAAUUUGACAGAAGUAGACGGAGAGGGGGUAAAGUCCAAACUUGGACAAAUAGGGGGUUUACUCAAAACGUGACCAUAAAAGGGGGGUUAAGUCUAAAAAUCCCAAAAAUGUUCAACAAUAAGCGGCCCCUGCAGUUGUCGCUUUACACAAUACAAAUACGUCUCAAACUCAAUCCCGUAUGUGAUAAUAAGCCUAUUAUAUUGUAUAAUCAGUCCUAAUCAAAAUGGUUUUCUAUAUAAGAGAACUGAUCUCCUUAAUCAUGAAAAUGUGUUUAAGAUAAUUACAGUUCGAUUAAAUUAUGAGUGGCACCCGUUUAGCCGACCAUAAUUUGAUUAAGUAAAUUUAAUUUGAUGACGAUCGCAGCCGACCAGAGAUAAUUACUAUAUUAUUGUGUUAAAGAUAAUGAUAAUGAUUAUUAUAGCAACUAUAUUACAUGCAACAUCAUGCUUAUGCCAUCUAUACUCAUUAUUCAUGAUUCAAUCUUGACUCUUGAGGUUACAUGCAAUCCAAAGCCACUAGCUGGUACUUGAAAAAAUGUUACGAAACUUGCUGUACGUGUGCUUCAUCAAGUCACCAUGAGUCCAUGUACUUUCUUAAUGCGUGAGAAAUGUGCUUUAGAGCAAGUUGCAAGAAUGAAAGGUUGGCAAACAAACAUGGAAAAGAUUCAAGUCUUUCAAACUAAUGAAUAGUGUUGGGGCGGUGGAUACGCAUAUCUUUUGCUGUUGUUAACACUUAAACAGCAUCUUUCUCUCUUUAUUUCAUUACAUCCACACAUUGUUUAGCUUCAUAUCUUCAUGUUUGACCAAUUUUGAAAUUGAUACUAUGCUAUGAGGGUUGUUUAACCUGUUUAACUCCACAGAACUUCUGUUCUUCAUCUCUAAGAUCAUAGACAAAACAGAAAUCUGACCACUUUUAAACCAUAAGAAAUAUACCAAUUACUCUCCCCACAUGAUUUUAUCGCGUUGAUCUGCAUGAAGAUGCGAUACAUGUACUGAUGUACAUUAUACAAUUGGAGGGCAUAUAGCUAUGACACCCCUUUAAGUAUAGGAUCCAUACCUUAAAAAUUCUUUAGAUUGAAAAUGAAUCCGGAAAUCUUGCCAAAUCUUCUUCUUCUUAACGGUAUUUGCCCAGUAAUCUAUUACCCAGUCGGCUGUCGGCGUAAUCCAUAGUUUAUCUCCCACAGUAUUUGAAUAGAAUUAUAUAUUAAAAUGUCAAUUAUAUUGUAUGUUUUUAAUCUAGUCUAAUGGAUUACUUCUAUGCUACUACCACUAUGGUAACAAGAGGCCGGAUCAUAUGGUCUGGUUUUGGGAUAAAAUGCAUUAUUUGAUGAAUUUAUAGGUAUUAUGCUUUUGUUGAUUGAGAUGUGCAAGGAAAAUGACAUGCAUGAAAGAUAAGUUUUGUAAUAAUUUACUUUAGUAAAAAUAUGCAACAGUGACAUUUUUUUAUUUUUUUUUUUGGAUUUUACUAUAACUAAAUUUUAGAAAAUUUGGGAUUAUUGCCAAAGGUUCAUGAACACAUAGAAGAAUGCCUACAAUCAAAUGACUUUGAUCAAAAUAAUUGAAAUAACGCGGUUAGUAACUUAAUAUUGUGAUCAUAUAUAUUGAUGCUUCUGCUUAAAACCUACAACGACAGAACAAUAGAGUGAAUGAACGAUAAGUCUAUUUCUUAAAUGCAUUGACAGAUGGAGAAGAAGAUGGCCAAAAAAAAUGGUACAAUUCAGGGACGAAUAUCUGGUACGCCUAUUUUGAAAUCAGCUGAAUUUGAGCAAACGAUUCUAGUACAGUACUACCACCCAAUGAGGGGACCAAUCUAGCAAGACUAUCAAUUAGGGUAUAUCGGUGGUCCAGCCGUGGGAGGACCAAAUUAUGAAAGUAACAAAUUAAACCUAUCAGAUUAUUAGCACCAAAAAAUUACAAUCAAUCAUCAAAAUCCCUAGGAUUAUAGCCAUAUGAACAUACUUGGUAGAUAAAACACCAGCACGGAACUACAACUGAUAGGAAUCUUCCUAAACUCAACUCGAUACAACUCCGUUAUAGACUGUCUAACCUAGGGGUGGAAAUCGGACGGAACGGAUCGAAAAUGGUCAAAUAACAUGUUAAGAAAAAAUAAAUCAGAAUUAGAAAAUUUCUUCCAAUUCCAUUCUAAUUUUUUUUCGUAACAACAAAAUUUAUUUCAAGUUCGGAAUAUUAAAAAUAUUUGGAAUAUCAAAAAAUAAAAUAAAUUCAGAUCAAUCGGAAUUUCAAUUUAAAAAUAUAUCAAAAUUUGGCUCAAAAUUAAUUAAAAAUCUAAAUCGAAAAUAGUGGACGUGAUUCAUUUUGGAAACUUGAAAAUUCUGCACUAUUUAUACUGAGCUGAAAUACUAUAUUUAUUUAUUGGGGUUUUUUUCCUAACAUAAUAACAUACCACCCCAAUGAUGGAUCAAAGUUUUGGGGUAUAUAGCACUUUAUAAAACACAAUUAUACUGCAAAAUUUAUAUAAUAAUAUAAUUGCAUGAACAAAAAAGGAAUUAAUCUGACUAAUAUGCAUAGACCUUCAAUCGAAAGUAUAAAGUAACUAAUUAUUUACUAUUAUAUUAUUUUUUUGUUGAAUUGUAUAUUUUUAAAAAUGAGAAUAAUUUAAAUCUCUUUAAAUUAUCAAAAAUUUUGAAAUAUUUAUCGAAAAAGAUCAGAUUAACAAUCAGAAAUAUCGAAUCGGAUUUAUAGGAGUAGUUCCAAUUCCAUUCUAUUUUUUUUCGAAAAAAAUCAAAAAUCAAAAAAUUCAAAAAAAUUGGAACUGCAAUAAUCCAUUCCAAAUUCGAAAAAAAUCAGAUCGAAAAUAAAAAAAAAAAUAAAAAAAUCGACAAAAAUUUACACCCUUAGUCUAACCUCACGAUGCUACUUGUAAAAUGAAAAACGUUGGUGACUAUUUGUAGCCACAUGCUUCACUAGCUGAAAUGUAGACUCUAGCUGAAGAAAAGCAUGCGCCUCAGAUAGCCGCAUUGCAAUGUUAAUGGCGAGGCAGCUUAGGGUGACCUAGAAGUGGAACAAGUUAGUCCAGUCCCUUGGGGUGGUGUCCUACACACGUGUUCACAUUUAGAACCAAAACCUCCAAUUCUUUAGGCUCCACACAAUAUAUAUAUAUAUAUAUAUAUAUAUAUAUAUAUAUAUAUAUAUAUAGAAAACAAACAAACAAACCCUAGCAAUGAAAGCAAAUAAAAAGCAGCUCAUCUCAUCUCAUCUCAUCAGUAUAGAGUCAUUCAUUCACAAUUCACAUACUUAAUCGUGCUCUUGUGUCCCUUUGUUUCUUGCCCCACGUAAGUGCUCGAUAGCGACACAACACACACACCUUAUGACCUUUUUACCUUUUCUUCCUUUCUCUUUAAAAUCCCUCUUUCUUACUCGCUCUCUAAAAAUCUCUAUUCCAAUCAAAACCAUAACCAAAACCAAAACCAAAACCACUUUUUUUCUUUUCAUAUAACAAGAAAUGGGUUUAUAUAGUGAUUUGAAUGAUGUUCAAUCAGAAUCAAUUCCUUUAUUUUUAGUAAUUCUUAUAGCUAAUUGUGUAAAUUAUCUUCGAUCUAUAAUUGUUGGUUUUGUUGAAUCAAUUGGAUUUUCUUGUAAUCAUCGAUUUGAUUCAAUUGAAGAUGUUGUUGGUGAAAGGCUAUUAAGCGCAGUGGGUUCAGGUUUAGCAAGUUUAAUAGUGGUUUCAGAACAAAGUAAUUUGAAUCGAGUAUUUGGUUAUAAAAGUGUUGGUGUUGUUGGUGGUGGUGGAAUUGAAUCAUCAGAUGAUGAUUGUAUUGUUUGUUUAUGUAAGUUAGUAGAUGGAGAUCAAGUGCGUAAGUUAGCAUGUAGACAUGUUUUUCAUAAGGCUUGUUUGGAUGGAUGGUUAUUUGAUCAUUUGAAUAUAACUUGUCCACUAUGUCGAUCGCCGUUAGUUUCUGAUGAAAGAUUUGCUGUUACUGAAAGAAGAGUUGCUGGUGACCUUGUUAGUUGGUUUUCAAUGCGUUGAAUGAUGAUGAUGUAUGAUGAUCAGUUUUAUGUAUGAUGUAUGUAUGUAUGUAUGUACAUCCUGACCAUCACCAUGUGGGAUGUUUUUUACAGUUUUUAGAUAUUUUUUUUUUUUUUUUGAAGAGCUCUAUAGCCUAAAUAGGGAGGUUUUUCUUUUUUUUUGCCUAGGUUGCUCUUUUCUUUCUUUUUACUGCACUUUUUGAAGAACUCUUUUGGGUUCUUUUUUACUCCUGUAAAUUUUAACUUCCACGUUAAAUAAGAAUUAUUAUCUUGAUGAUUAUUACUUCCAUAGUCAAUUGGUCAUUCAUUAAUCAUUACUGGAUUCUAUGAAAUGUUGCUUUAUUUAUCAAUUUUUUGUUCUUUACAAGCAUCAACCAUGCAUAUGCACCAUCUUUCAUCCACCACUGUUUCAACUUUCUACAUAUGUAAUUGUGUGGUUAGGUGCAAAUGAUUUGGAUUAGUUUAUAAUCAGUCAUAAACCUAAAACCAAAUGCAGAAAAUUACCAAAGGGAGUUCAAUUAACAGAGUAAUAAACCACUGCCUACAUUCAUCACCCAUUUCCCCUGUCAAUAGCAUCUUUAACAGAGGCCAGUUAUGGUUAUUUCCCCCCUUGGGGCAUGAACUUAUUAACUGACCGGAUUGACAUGUGCUUUAAGUAGUGUGUUCACAAUUUAACCAUCAUCUAUCCAUGGUUGGAACUUGGAUGCUGGAUUUCUGAAACUAUACAGAUCAUGCACAUAUCAACAAAUCCCACAUACUUGGGAUGCUUCAUAAAUUUUAGCAAAUUAUGCCAGCUGAGCUCAGUUGGUAAUAUCCCUGGGCGAUGAUACUAGAGGUCUGGAGUUUGAUCCCAGACAAUGAUCUCGCUAAAAAUAGGUUUGCCGAUCAAAGAAAAAAAAAUCAUAACAAUAAACUCUUGCAGCACAAUCAUGAGAACCGACAUCACCACACAUGUCGACCACAUUAGGGAGGCAACUAAACUACCCUCUUCUGCCCAGCCAACAUUUAAAAGUAAUACACACCUACACAUGUUGUCACCUCAACUUAAAUUGCACAAAAUUUCAUUCUUUUAUUAAUUAAAACAUUUUAUUACAAGAGCCACCAUAUCAAGAAACAAGUAUUAUUCGAUUAAGGUGGGGAUGGGGGUGGGGAAAGGCUUGCUGAACAUCCACAAACAAGUUUUGUUUUCUUGGUAAAAUAGAAAGAGAAAAAAAAAGGUUCCCUGGAGAGGAGCAUCCAGAAAGCUCUCAGUCAGGUGAUCCAUACAGAUGCUGCAUUUUUUACUGCGUUCUUUAUGUGCUCUUUCCACUAGCUUUCGCCAAAGAUGUGAAGCUCAAUUUACCGCGCUCUUCAUGUGCUCUUUCCACUAGCUUUUGCCAAAGAUGUGAAGCUCAACCUGCAACAUAGGAAAGGCAAGGAUUAAGGGGCAGAUACAGUAGAACCUCUUUAAAUUAAUACUCGAUUCGUUAAUAUCUCUCUAAGUUAAAUAGAAUUCUUUGGUCCGAUGUACAUUGUAAGUAGCUAAAUCAACACUCGGUAAGUUAAUAAUCUCUCUAAGUUAAUAAAAUCACAUAAGGUCCCAAAGCUAUUAAUUUAAAGAGGUUCUACUGUAUAAUUUUCCAGAAAGUAUCUUCCAAUGAUAACUAUUACAGAAGAUGACAUGAUUCUACAAUUACUAGGAUCAGUGCAUGACUGGUUUCACACAAUUACCUGAUAUGUGGCUUUCGCUGGGGCACAGAUGUAGUAGCAGCGAGGCCGUUGGAGAAAGGAGCCAUCAGUUCAACAGGCUUUUAAUAACAACAAGAAAAAAUGAAGAUGAUGUUAAUGGUUUAAUCCCUCAACCAUAACACAGUAACCAAUUGACAGAAAAUAUUACACGUAUACCACAUGAAAGCAAUGUCAACAACAGACAGAUAUAAAAACUAAUUCAGCAGCUCAAAGCUAGUGCUGUAAAGUUAAUGACGAGACGAGAUAUCAGGAACCAGUCCAGACCAAUACCAACUGAUUUCAUACCUAUUUAAAUUUUAUCACUCCUAAAUGGUUUCUAAGAUUUGUCUACUGUUUGAGUUUUAAAUUUGGCUUUGUUGUAUUUAUACUAUAAUAUAGAACCGUGAAACGGUGGGGACCGACUUUGGGUUGUGAACAAAGAGGGGUUGAAGACUUGAAGCAGAGAGAGAGAGUUGGGGGAGAGAAGAAAAAAAACAAAAAACAAAGUGGACGGACGGACACGAAUUUUGGUUUCACCCAAAGUAUAAUGGACCUCCUAAAGUCGGUCGAUUAGUGACUCAAAGCACUCAAGGAGAAUGCAGCGCUUAUAACAAAAAAUGGAUAAAUGAGACAAUUUAUUGAAUCAUUAUGCAAGGCAAUGAAGAGGAGAUUGGAUUUGAGUAAAGCCCUAGGGUUCCAAAAAGGGAAAUGCCACUUGUUAAAACUCGUAUCUUUACUUUGUUUCUUGUAAGGCCUUGCAAAAUAUAAAAUUUUAGAAUCAAUUUUCCCUGACAGUACAGAUUUUCAUCAUUGUUCCAUAAAUAUCCCUGAAUAGAGAACACUUAAUUUAUAUCACCAAUUUAAAAUUUUCUCGCAUGAAACAAACAAGAAAAAGAAAACCCACAAAUGGCACACUAAAAUAUUGAAACUGUUCAACACAUGCCUGACAUAAUAUGUGCAAACUCUCACCUAUUCUGAUAUGUUAAAUUUGGUGAGAAUACAAACUGGUGCAAGAUUAAAACACGAGGCUAUACUUGAGAAGUUAAGAAUGUACCAUAAAAUCCUCGAGUUGUAAAUAAGAGCAAGUUUGUGUCUGAGCAUAUAAGCAAUUUAUAGCAGAUAACAAAAUUUUGUAUAAAAUGUAUAGGUGCAAGGUGAUAGAUGAGACCUCAAGUUCCUCCAAACCUCCGUUCUGAAAGAAGCCAGCACGCAAAGUUGCAUCAGUCCCCGUUGCGGAUGCACCGUUUGACAUUGUGGACUCUAGCUCUUUGCCUUCAUUGCCCUCUACACACUUAUUCACUUUUGUUGAACCCGAAUCACCUUCAAGCUCAUCAAGUUCAUCAGGAAAUCCUUGAUGGCCCAAAGAUGGGCCAGAAAUAUUUUCAAUUGCUUGUUUUUCAGAUUCUUUAUUGCGCGAUGAACCAGCUGUGCUAGAUAUGGAUCCAACAGGCAUAUUUGGUUUUCUGGAAUCCUCUGCUUCUCCACCAGUAUCGAAAGAAAUCUCCAGGGUGUGGCUUGAGUUCCUCUCAAGUUUAUCUUCAACUUGUUCUCUCUUUAUUGAUGCCUCCAUUACAUCAGCAACUACAUUGCAUCCUGCAUUAGGAUAUUCGGCAGGAGUGCCAUAUUGCCCAAUUAUAGGUGGACUACGGCUUUCGUAUCCCCCAAAUAUUCCGCCAUUAGAAGAACCUUCAACCGAGCACUUGGUCUUUUUCAAUUCAGUCCCUAUGUCAAUUCCAUUUUUCUUUCUCUUCCCCCCGUCUUCUGUUGCAUCAAUUUCCAACGUGCUUUCAGGUGAUUUAUCCACUUGAGGAGAGUUAGAGAUAUUUGCUGUUGAAGUAGGCCUACCAACCCAAGCUGCUUUUGUAGGUCGGGAUGGCCGAAUUCCACCUGGGAAAACAAAAGAGGGAAUGUUCCUGCGUCUUAUAUGAGACACACGAACUGUCAUUCCAGCUUUUCGCAUAGUAUAUUGUCCAACGUUGACCUUGAAUUCCUCAACAGUCGCCCUAAUAUCAAAUUCUUGAUUCUCUUGUGCAGGAACUCCUUGGUUUCGUUGUAAGCCCAUAAAAUAGCAGCAAUGGAAUGGUCUGGAUUUGUCUGGAAAGUCAGCAGGGUGUGGAUGGCACUGAAGCAAACUAUAGGUGUCUCUCUCAAUCUGAACCAUGAACAAACAAAAACAAGUCAGAAAGAAUUUCAAUAGCAAACCCAGCAGAGAUAACCCUACUUUGUUCUAUUACAAAAUCAACGAUUUACCUUCAAGGUCAGCUGACGUAGUCGGGAUUCAACCCAACCUUUCCAUUGCCUCAAGUCGUCAUCAUUUUCAGCAGAGAUAUCAAUCUGCAGAUAAUUUUUAUAAGCUUCAAAGAAAGGGUAGGGCUCGAACAGCACAUUCCAAUCAGCCUUGCUUACUUCCAUCGCCUGCAAAGAUUAAACAACAUCAGCUCCCAGGGAAAGGUCGAAUUUUAAUAUUUGUGGAUCCACUGAUAGAUCAAGUAAAUAUCAAUAGCUAAUCACAAUAAUGUAUUAUACAGUAGAACCUCUUUAAAUUAAUACUCGAUUCGAUAAUAUCUCUCUAAGUUAAUAAAAUUACAUAAGGUCCCAAAGCUAUUAAUUUAAACAGGUUCUACUGUAUAUAUAUAAAGAACCACAAGAGCCGCACCCGAUCCUUCAAAUUACCAUGACAUUAACAAAGAUGAAGCUGGCUUUUAAUCAAUGGAAUUAAGCUCAACAAGUCACGAAAACAAAGUAUGUAAGAGCUCAAAGCCUAAAACGCCAUACCAUAUCAUUCUUGCAAGGAUGAUUAUAUGAAUAAUAACAUUCAUUUUUAAUGGGAAAGUUCACAAGUCGCUUCUAUGCCAAUCUAUAAAUUCUACCAUUUCUACAACUAAACAUAGACGAAACGAUAGCAGUUAACAACCAUCAGCUUGUAAAGUCUAAAGAAACAGUAGUCAGUCUUUUGGACUCUCAUUCUUUUUGAUAAUUUCCAAAACAAAGAUCACUAGAAAGUGAUGUUAUUAAAUGAGAGAUAUAAGCUACACGUCUGCAACAUUAGUUAAGUUCAUAGGCAGCUGACAUGUAAAAGUCUUUAGCGUUUAUCAGCUUCAUUAACAAUAUAAUCAUUAUAAGGUAACAAGAAUUUUUUUGUAAUGGUUGUUCUUUUUACAUAGUAACUUCAACACUUUCAAAAUAGGCAUAAAUAACUUAUUUUCAUCUUUGGAGAAAAGAGCCACAACUUAUGUCUUUAUUUUCAUAUCCAAUAACUAUGGAGUAUGGAGUUGUAAAUCAUUUUGAUUUCAUAAUUAAACUAACAGUUUUGAUAGAGAUAUUUCAACUUUUCCAUAAUAUUAUCGUUGCCAUUUUAUCAACUUAAAUGUCCAAUUUUGCAAUAAAAAUUAGCAAAUUAAACUGGCGAAAAAAAAUACGUAAAUAUCAUUUUAAAAGCACAAAAAUAACUACAUAUUACUAAACAAAAUUAUUCAUAACUGUAAUUUUUAAAGCACACUACAUGCAUGCACACAUGCUGGUUUUCGUGAAGCUCAUUGAGAGAGAGCAAUCACAACUUUUCAAUACGUAAACUUCGAAUAAUAAACCAAAUUACCAUCAACCAAUUGACUGAUUUUGAAAAUGCUGCAUACCUCACAUAUUUCAUUUCCCCUCUGAAAUUCUUCAGUCAUAACACGCAGUGUACUGGAUGAUACAUUGUAGCUAGAAUUCAUGCAAGGAUAAGCAGGUGUAAUUAUGGGCAUUAGAUGAAAUCUGUCGCGGUGGUUUCUUCUUGGAUCCCAUAUAGAAAGCCCUAGAGAUCCUUCUUCAAUGGCACAUAGCAUCACUGGAUUUGGCCAUCGCCACUGAGUAUAAACCCUAAAGAACCUAGAUACCAGCAUACUAGGAAGUGCAUUAGGAUAUAGCUGGCAUAUACGAGCAACGAGCAAAGCCCAGUUUAUACCACCCAGGAAACCUGCAACCUGGUCAACAUAAAAAACACGGAAGAUGAUUAGUACAUAAUCGAGGUAUAGUAAUCAUGUGCAGGUGUCAUAAUAAAGGAACUUACAUUUGAAUAAACACCACGACGUUUCGCCCACAAUCUCAUGCAUCUUAACGUAGUGCGAAAAUUCUGAAUCAGAUAGACCAAGAACAAGUAAAGCCAAAUGUUAAAAGAGUGCAGCAUAUGCACUUGCAAAUAUCCGAGUGUAUGAAUACCUGAAUAUUUGGCACUAAACGUAAUAUUUGAUCAGUAACUCGACAUCCAUUGAGACUGCGAACCGUUUGCUCAUCUGCACCCUGCAGUAUUGAAUCCUGGGAAAUAUCCAAAUCCUACAAUAUACAUUAGUAUAGAUUGCAUCAGAUCACAGAUUAUAAGAAAAUGAAUUUGAUUUAUAUCAUGGAUAUCAAAAUAGUCAAAAUGGGAUGUUUUCUAAUGAUAUUGGGCACAGCCCAUUGUCACGUCACCAAAAGUAAACCAGACAAAACUAUCCUUGGAGCAAACAAGAAAUUAGUGUGACAUUCAUUUGUUUGACAUCAUUGCGGGGAAAAAUUUCCCCAAAACAACAGCCUAACAAAAAAUUUAUCUUUCAAAAAAAUGCAUGAAUUGGUCCAGAACUCGCCAACCCGUUAAACUAAAUUUGGCCUGCUUUGAAUUUAAAAAGGCAUAUUCUUGUGUGUUGGGAGGGGGGAACAUGGGCAAAAGUUAAGUAAUCUUCUUGUGUACAAUGAUCCUGAUGGCAGUACAUGCAUGAUAACAACAUCACUACUUACUUCGGGAAUGACCCAGAGUGACAGCUGAGCAUAAAGUAGAUCUAUAGAAACUCCACUGAAUUUGAACUUCAUCACAGGAACAUGAGCAUCAGGCACAGGAUGCAAUUGUGUUACUUCAGCAUCUGUGUAAGCAUCCCAUAAAGUUCCUCAAAGAAGUCCUCCUGCAGUCGUAACAAGUUUUCAGACCACAAGCUAAAAAGGUAAACAGAGUCAAGCAUUGUCAAAGGAAGGAGGCAAGAACUGAUCUCACUUUUCUUUUCGCGUAAUUAGGCCCAACACACAGUGUGUCUAUAUCUGCGCCUGGCCCAUGCACCUAAUAACAUACGCAACCAUAGUGAAGACGAACAUGUAUAUGAAAUUCACAAAAAUGACAAUGUAAAAACGAAUCAUAACAGAAAGAGGGAAAAUGGAGGGGAAAGAAUACUUAAAGUAUGGCAGGCCUAUCUUGUAACUCAUGUAGGACUGUAGGAGUUAAGACAUUCCAACCAGAUCGACCAAACCCUUUUGACACUUAUCAUUUCUAACGUACCAAAUAAGGGAGCAGGGACUCCCCAAAUUUGUCUUAGCAUCAAAAAGUUAAUUCCUUUCUUUAGAACAUAAAUGACUUGGUUUAAAAAUCAUUUUGUACUUUUCUUUCAUUCACUUGAGUUUAUAAUAAGAACACUACAUUUUCAAUUUCAGCAUUUUAAACCACGACAGUCAUGUAAUGAAUUGAAACUAUUAAUGUCAACCAAUUACAGUUCAUCUCACAAACAAUUCUAAAUGAUUUCGUAUCUCAACAUAGAUAAUCGCUGCAUUCAGUCAUGCUUGACAAUGAGCAAACAAGGAGUACUUUUAUACUGUAAAAAUGUGAACAUUAACAUCUUUCGGUAGACUAACAGAUUGCCUCCACCAAUCCAGAAUGAAUAGGUCAUCGUAGACUAUGGCAUAAUUUGCCUAGGGAUUGUCUAAAAUUUAAGUUCACACCAAGUGGGACCAUAAUGUAACAAAUCUGGCAUGUAUCAAUUACGGGCCAUGAAUUGUUUCACUCUUAAACAAAUAUAUAUCAGAAGCCAGAAGGGUUGACAUACUCUUACUAGGAAAAAAAAAUCAUGGCAAAAACACAAUAAUAAAAGUAACAUAAAACAUGGAAAGAGGUGGGGAAAGAACUAGGAAGAAACUCAUACCCCAAGGCGAUAAGAACCAAAUGUGAAGAUCUUGGCAUUUGCUUCAUGAACCAACUGUUCAUUAAAGCCCCUUUUGUGGCUGACUGUUUUUACCCAAUUCUUCACUAUCUGUUUGAUGCCACCAACAUAUACCAAGACAAGUAAAACAAGGUUCUAAAAAGAUAAACAAAGGUAAAUCCAACACAGUCACAAAACAAACCUGGUCUAAUCUUCCAAGCACUUCUUCCCUAGAUACAGCUUCCUCUUGGCUUUCAUACAAUCCAGCAUCACAUAGGUACUAACAAUCCCAAACUUAAUCUUAUUAGAUUGGGAAAACCAUAAUCAACAAGUAUUUUCUAUGGCACAGCAAUGCAAGUUUAAUCAUCAAUUCAAAUUCAACUAAAAAACCAACCUUUUCAAGUUCUUGGGUCUUAAUCCUGUCAAAAUCUGUCGGACCACCCAAAGAGAUAGGGUCUGUGACUCCAAGCUUUCGUUGCACAUUCCCAUUCCCAUUCCCAGGGUUUCCCAUUAAUGAUCAAGUAAAGAUUGCUUCUUUUUUUUUUCCAAUUGAUAUUAUUAAAAUUACUCGCAAAUUUAUAGUGUAAUAGUUCUUACAAAAUUUCCCCUUUUUUUGUUCUAAUUGAAGAACAAAAUAGUGGUAGAUAAUUAUGCAAUCAGAAAAAAUAAAUUAAAAGCGGAAAAAAACUAAAAAAAAGUAAAGAUAAUUCAGAGACUAUCGAUCCAAUAUUCAUUCAGUUUCUGUUACAAGUAAUUGAAAUAUAAAAAUCAAACAAACCCUAGAAUCAUAGAAUUGAAUAUACAACUCAAUCUCUCUCAAAAUUCUUCUUUUUUUUUUGUAAUUUUUUUUUUUCUUUUUUUUUUUUCUCUCUCUCUCUCUCUCUCUCUCUCUCACAGAAUCGAAUAUACAACUCAAACUCACAAAAUCUCCCAAACAAAAAAGCCCUAAUUGAGAAACCUUCUUAUCGUCUUCAACAAACAGAAACAGAUCUUUAGAACGCUUUGCUUGACAAUUGGCUGAAUUGAUCUUUCGCCUAUUAGUGAUGAUGAGGUUUUGAAUUGAUCGAGAAAACCCUAGAAAUCAAUGAACAACUGUUAGAAAAAGGAAAAAAAAAAAAUACGAAACAAAGACGAAAACAGAAGAGGAGAGAAACGUGUCGCGAAGUACCGAUUGUGAAGAUUUCGAGCGAUAAGUUUUGCAAACUAGUUUAAGUUGAUAUGUUUGCUUUAUAUAGGCUGCUGAGUCCUGACGGUAAUUAUGGUCGGUUCUGACUACUUCUGACUUUCAAAAACGUUAAGAAAUCAGAAUCCUCAUCCAACUCACAUUUGUGUUAAAUUAUGGGGUUUUUUUUGGGGGGGUGGGGGGGGGGGGGGUUUAAAGAUAUGUUUGCUUUCACUUUCACCACACAAGACCAUUUAUAUGGUUGUUUCAAGUAAAAAUCUUUUGUGGGGUGAAACCAAAAUUUUGUCUAGUGAGAUAGAGAAGAACAUGAUUCAAAUUUCUUUAAGGGGUUGCACAUGGCAAUGCAUCAUGAACCAAAAUUAUAAAAUUAUGCAUUAUGAAAGUGUUCAAAAGUGUAGGAGAUUAGGACUUAGGAGCUACCUUCCAGAGAUUUUUUUACAGAAUGUUCAAGUGACAUGCAUAAGGUUCUGUUGACCUACGUAGAUACACAUACACUGGGAGUUUGGGAUGUCCUCACCUAGUCACCUGGAGAAUAUAUUCAUUUUGAAGGAAAGUCCAAUUUUGGGUGAAUAUGAUACGGACUUAAGGGAGUCCAUGGGUGCAGAAUACCAUUUACCAUGUUUCUCUUAUGAUCUAGAAUACUAAUUGAUUUUGGAAAAUGCACAUCACUAAACAUACAGUAUGUCAUUGUUACAUCCACAUGCCACACUUUGGCAUACAUGAACAACAACUCAUUUGCUCCCCAAAAAAGAAAAGAGAAAAAAUUGCUUUCUAAAGUCGGCUCAAUUACUUUAGCUUUUCUCUGUGAUACAAUACAAUUGAUUCCUUCUGUUAAAUUUCAAAUUCCAUUAAUGGGAAACAUCCGAACUACAUUCAUGUUCAGGAUCAGUGCGCAACAAAAGAGACCCUCAUGUCAGGAAUACCAAAACAAAAACAUGAUCACCAUGAUCAGCAAAACAUCUAACUGUUUGGCUGCCCCCUACUCUAAUAAAAAAAAACUCAAUUCCCCAGAACUAACCAUUUAACAAAUGCCUACCAGCAAUAUAAACAAGAUUACAUGACCAUCUGGCACUUGAGAAAUUGUAAGCGGGUGGACCAUGGGUACUAACUUAGUAAAUUUGUUGGGUCAUGGGCAGUAACUAAAAACAAAAAGGGGAAUGUUCCUGCGUCUUGUAUGAGACACAUGAAGUGUCAUACCAGGUUUCAACAUAGUAUACUCUCCAACAGACUUCUUAAAUUUCUCAACCGUCGCAGUUAUAUCAAAUCCUUGACCUUCCUGUGCAGGAACACCUUGCUUUCGCCGUAAACCCAUAAAAUAACAGCAAUGGAAUGGUCUGGAUUUGUCUGAAAUUUGAACAGGGUGUGGACGGCACUGAAGCAAACCACGUGUGUCUUUCUCGAUCUGAACCAUGCACAACAAAAACAAGUCAGAAUGCAUUUGAAUAGCAAAUCCAGCAGAGAUAAGUCGAUAACCCUUCUUUUCUUUACAAAAAAUCAACCAUUCACCUGCAAGGUCAACUGACGUAGUCGAGAUUCAACCCAACCUUUCCAUUGCCUCAAGUCGUCAUCAUUUUCAGCAGAGAUGUCAAUCUGCAGAUAAUUGUUAUAAGCUUCAAAGAAAGCGUAGGGCUCAAACAGCAUAUUCCAAUCAGCUUUGCUUACAUCCAUCCCCUGAUAGAGCAAAUAAUAUCAAAAGCUAAUCACAAUAACACAUUCAACAUAAAUACUCUGAUAAUGAAUCACAAGAGCCACACCCGACCCUUCAAAUAGGUCAAUACUUGACAGCUAUUGAAAAUACCAAGACAAUAACAAAGAUGAUGCUUGAUUGCAUCACUCUAAUAGAUCUGUAGACCGAACACCUUACUUUCCUUUCAUCUAUUGAAUUGUUGCCUUUUGAUCAAUGGGUAAAAAAAUAAUUAAGAACACGAAAUAUCUAAAGGCUCAAAGCCAAAAACCACAUCAGGUAUCAUCAUUUCUGCAAGGAUAAUUAUACAAAUGAUACAACACUCGUUUUCAAUGGGAUAGUCCACAUGUCACCUUCUACGUCAGUAUAUAAAUUCUACACAUAGACUAAAACAAUACUUUAACAACCUUAAAAGAUCUUCUAAACUCUACAAUAACACUUUUCAGUCUUCUCAUCUGUAACUCUUUUUGAUAAUUUCCAAAACUAAGAUCACUAGAAAGUGAUCGCUCCAUUGCUUGUAAAGGAUGAAAUAGUAAAGAGGUAAAAUAAUUUAUUUUGAAAGUUAUGAGCUCAUAAUGAUCUGAGCCAUAGUGUGUCAUAUUAAAUGUGAUAUAAGCUAUACGUGUGCUGAAAGUAUAUAUGUAAGAUAAAAAGGUUAGGUGACAAUCAUAUAAUCUCUCCCCAAAUAGUAGACCCCACAUACAGUAGUUAAGUUAGCACCAAAAUAAAGCAUAAUGAUUCUAUAAGAAGCUAGCAAUGCAACAUUAGUCAAGUUCAAACAAAAAACCUUAUAAUAGCAGCUGACAUGUAAAAGUCUUUAGCAUCAAUCAGCCUCAUUUAUAAUAUAUAUCAUUAGAACUUUGACAUGGUCGUUAUUAUUCCACUUACUACAGUGAAUUCAAAAGUUUCAAAGUAAGCAUAAGUUAAUUACCAUCUUCAGAGCCACCUUUGUUUUGUCUUCUCAUUUUCAUAUCCAUAACUAUGGAGUUGUAAAUCAUAAUUUAUUAAAUAACACGUUUAAACUUUAAAUAAAGAUAUUUUAAUUUUCAAUAAUAAUCAUUGCUAUUUUAUCCACUUGAGUGACCCACUGUGCGAUUGGUUCAUAAACUUUCAAAAAUACUACGUAAAUAAAUUUCUAAAAGCACAAAUAUUACUAGGCAUUAUUUGGAAAAAAAUUUACUGAUAACUGUGCUUUUAGGAGCAGAGACUAUGUGAAUGCAAAACACACUAGUUUCAGUAUAGCUCACUAAAAAAGAGUAAUCAAAACCUUUCAUUCAUAAACUUGAGAAAGUACGAAAUUACCAUCAACCAACAAACAGAUCGUGAAAUACUACAUACCUCACAUAUUUCAUUUCCCUUCUGAAAUUCUUCAGUCAUAACAAGGAGUGUACUGGAUGAUACAUUGAAGGUAGAAUUCAUGCAAGGAUAAGCUGGUGUAAUUAUUGGCAUUUGAUGGUUUCUGUCGCGGGGAUUAAUUCUUGGAUCCCAUAUAGGAAGUCGGAGAAAACCUUCUUCAAUGGCACAUAGCAUCACUGGAUUUGGCCAUCGCCACUGAGUAUAAAUCCUAAAGAACCUAGAUACCAGCAUACUGGGAAGUGCAUUAGGAUAUAGUUGGCAUAUACGAGCAACAAGCAAAGCCCAGUUUAUACCACCCAGGAAACCUACAACCUGAUCAAAAUAAAGAACAUAGAAGAUGAUUAGGACAUUAUCAAGUUAUACUGUUAUAGUAAUCAUGUGCAGGUGUUUCUGUUCUGCAGAUGUAAUCUUUAUUUUUACAUCAUUCAAUAAAAUCUAUUUAUCGACAAAAAUGUAAUCAUGCGCAAGUGUCAUAAUAUAGGAACUCUCACAUUUGAAUAAAUUCCACGACGUUUCGCCCACAAUCUCAUGCAUCUUAACGUAGUGCGAAAAUUCUGGAUCAGUUAGACCAAGAACAAAAAAAGCCAAAUGUUAAGAGAGGCUGCAAGUAUAUUUUUUUCAGAAAAGUUAAACGUAAAAUUUGUUAUUUUUGAGAAAAGUAUGUUUUUGAGAGGCUGCAAAAAUAUGCAUAUGCAAAGAACUGAGUGUACGACUAUUAAUACCUGAAUAUUUGGCACUAAACGUAAAAUUUUGUCGGUAACUCGACAUCCAUUGAGACUACGAACCGUUUGCUUAUCUGUACCCUGCAAUAUUGAAUCCUGGGAAAUAUCCAAAUCCUACAAUACACAUUAGUAUAUAUACUGCAUCAGAUCAUAAGUAAACCUGUAGAAGAAUUUGAUUUAAAUCAUGGAUAUCAUAAUAGUAAAAAACAAUUGAACUACAUUCAAAAUGGUAUAAUCUCUAAUGACUAUUGGGCACUGCCCAUUGUCGUGACAUCAAAAUUAAACCAGACAAAACAAAACUAUCCUUGGUGAAAACAAGAAAUUACUCUGACUUCAUUUGUUUGACAUCAUAGCGGGGGAAAUUUUGGCCAUCAACAGCCUAACAAAAAUGAUAUCUUUCAAUAAAUACAUAAAUGGUCCAGAACUCGCCAAUUCAUUAAACUACGUUUGGCAGGAUUUGAAUUUAAAGGCAUAUGAGGGAUGAGGUCAUGUUCCAUACGCAAAAAACAGACCAAGCAAAUUCAAGAGAGAAAAAACAUAAGGAAAAAUUCAGACAAGGUAAUCUUCUUGUGUAGAAUGAUCCUGAAGCCAGUACAUGUAUGAUAACAACAUCAAUACUUACUUCGGGAAUGACCCAGAAUGACAGCUGCGCAUAGAGAAGAUCUAUAGAAACCCCACUGAAUUUGAACUUCAUCACAGGAACAUGAGCAUCAGGCACAGGAUUCAAUUGUGUUACUUCAGGCAUCUGUGUUAGCAUCCCAUACAGUUCUUCAAAGAAGUCCUCCUGCAGUAAAGACAAUGUUUUCAGACCACACGUGAAGAAAAGGUAAACAGAAUCAAGCAUUGUCGAAAGUUGGAGGCAAGAACUGAUCUCACUUUUCUUGUUGCAUAAUUAGGUCCAACACACAGUGUGUCUAUAUCUGCACCUGGCCCAUGCACCUAACAACAGAAUAAAUCAUAGUGAAGACCAACGUGUAUAAAAAACAUCGUAAAAGAACCAUCACCAACGGAGAAGAGAGAGAGAGAGAGAGAGAAAGAGAGGGGGGGGGGGGGGAGGAGGAUCCACUCGAAAUCAUAGUUUAAGGAUAAUUUUCUAAAGACCAUAUUGAGUAAAAGUUAGUUCCUACAACAAGAUCCACAAACAAUAAAAGUCAUUAGCAGUCCGAAGAAAAUUAAAUAGCCACAGUAAACUCUCUAAAAUUCAAGUUAUAUACUUCCGUUUUUAAAACAUCAUCUUUAAUCUCCUUAACGAGCUUAUUAUACCCAUAAUCCCCAUACCAUAAGAAGCAGAAUCACUAGAAGAAUACAGACCAGAAAAGACGCCAACAAUAAAAGUACCUUACAUGGAAGUAUCAUGCAAUUUCAAAUAAACCAUCAGUCAUUCUUAAUCUUUACUUUAGAGAGGGAGAGGGGUAGGAGGAAUAAAUGAAGUUUGAUUAGCAAGAGGUGAAAGAAUACUUUAAGAAUGGCAAGACCUAGCUUCCAACUGAUGUAAGAGUUAAGACGUUACAACGAGGUCGACAUCCCUUUUGCCACUUAUUACUGCUGACCUACCCAGUAAGACUGUAAGAGGGGCAGAGAGUCCGCAAACUUCUUUCUAAAUAAAAAAUUAUAAAUCCGUUAAUUUAGAACAUAGAUGAACUGGUUUCAAACUUAAGCAAAAACAACGCAUCUUAUGAAAUUGUCAAUACUUACUUUGAUAUUAUCCACAUAAGUUAAUAACAAAAACACUAAAAUUUCAAAUUUCAGCAUUUUGAACCUAAGCAGCCAUGUAAUGAAUUUGAACCAUCCCAUUUUUAUGCAUAUCAACCAUUAUAGUUCAUCUCACAAACAAUUCUAGAUGAUUUAAUAUAUCAACAUAAAAUCGCAUUCAGUGAUGCUUGACAUAGAGCAAAAGAUUAAACGAAAAAAUGUAGAUGAAGCGAGUUAUAUAAUCUCAAGGAGUUCAGCUGUAUCAAAAGAUACAAAAGAAUUAUAAAAGUUGUGGAAAAAAAGGGAAUAUUUUUAUUUUAACCAGAAUAAACAGUAUAAAUGUGAAUAACAACUUCUGGUACAAUAUCACUGGGUCUCAAAACAUAGACCAACAAAUUGCCUCCAUCAAUCCAGAAUUGGUAGGUGCUCGUAAACAGUAAAAGAAUUAAGUUUAUACUAAGUGGGGCCAAAAUGUAAAUAUGGCAAAUAUAUGUCAGAAGGUACAAGCUAGAAAAAAAAAUAUGGCAAAAACACAUUAACAUAAAACAUGGAAACAGGGUGGGAAUGAACUAGAAAGAAAAUCAUACCCCAAGGCGAUAAGAACCAAAUGUGAAGAUCUUGGCAUUUGCUUCAUGAACUAACCAUUCGUUAUAUCCCUUUUUGUGGCUGACCCUUUUUACCCAAUUCUUCACUAUCUGUUUGAUGUCCCCAACAUAUACAAAGUGUCAAAGACAAGACAAGUACAACAAAACUGCUAAAUAGCUAGUUAUAAGUGAAUCCAAAAUAGCCACAAGAUGAACCUGGUCUAAUCUCCCAAGCACUUCUUCCCUCAAUACUGCUUCCUCCUUGCUUUCAUACAAUCCAGCAUCUAACAGGUACUAACAAUACAAAAGUUUAUGUUAUUAAAUUCAACAGUUACGAAGAUUUUCAAAUAAAAACCAGAGACAUAUUUGACCAAAACUGGGAAACCCAAUUCAAAUAAACAAACCUUCUCAAGUUCUUGAGUCAUAACCUUGUCAAAAUCCGUAGGUCCAGCUAAUGAAAUGGGUUCUGUGACUCCAAGCAUCUGUUGCCCAUUCGCAGGGUUUCCCAUUACCAUUACUAGUAAUGAUCAAAUACAGAAUGCUCUUUUUUUAACACAAAUGAUAUUAUCAAAAUUACUCGAAAAUGUAAACUAUUGAAGUAUUUCUUUACAAAGUAUAAACUAAUUCAAGAACAUAAGAGUAGUGUAAACUAUGCAAUCAGAAACUAGAAAACAAAAUAAACACAAUUCAGAAAACUAUCCAAUCCAAUCCAAUAUUCAUUCAGUUUAGUUUCUUUUACAAGGAAUUGAAAUACAGAGAUCAAACAAACCCUAAAUAACAAGAAUACAACACAAUCUCUCAAAAUUCUUGAUUCUUUCUCUAUGACAAAACUAAGAAAACCCUAACUCUCAAAAUAAACCCUAAUUGAGAAACCUUCUUAAGCGAUCAUCGUCUUCAACAUAUCUCUAGAACGACUUUCUUGACAAUUGGCUGAAAUGAUCUUUCGCCUUAUGAUGUUGAUGAGAUUAGCAAAUCUGAGUUCUGACUUCUGAUAAC